AGUUGAUCUUUGGGUAAAGGAGGAAGGAGAUGGGUCAUCUGACAAGCAGUUGCUUUCUUUGUAUGCUGAGUUUGAGGGGAUGUACCAGUUAGAUGAAAUGCUAGAUGGAGAGGUUAGUAGUGACCUUGGCAGCUUGGUCAUCGACUAUCUCUUGCUUGAUGAGAGUGUUGAGGCUGUAAUACAAGUCUCUGCAAAGAUUGACUGCCCUCAUCAUGUGAGAUUCACUGCAUUCACUAGUGGCUUUGAUGGUGAGAUUGUGCUGUUUGAUGAUAAGUUCUCUGGGAAUGGAAAACUGUUCCAGUAUGUUGUCGCGGUGAAGGCUGAGGGGAAAUUGGAUAUUUGCUUAAAAAUGGAGGAAUCAUUGUUUUGGUGGACUUUCCAGGAAGGAGCUGUUGGAGCUGUCAGGUUCCCUGAUGACUCAGUUUUAAAUUACGGGCAGUUUGAGGUGACGGUGCUUUUUGCUCCUAAGAAAUUUACCAUGGAUGACUGAAACCCGAUCUGUAAUAUCGGUGUUUUUUUAUCUUCGUUCUAGCAAAAACCGGUGGAGGUGGCAGAGAAAAUCGGUGGGAUGAGAGAUUAAGGAGAUGGCUGUUUUUUAGAGGAAAAGAAAAUCGGUGGGGUUUUGCGGGGAUCGCGGGGUCCAUUAGGCCUCGUUUGGUAAGAGUGGAUUUGAGAGGUUUGGUGAGGACGGGAUUUCAGGGAUUUGGUGAAUCCCCCUCUUCCACGCAAUCCCCUUGCAACCUCAAAUCCCCCUCCAGCCACACAUCCCCUUCGUACAAAACACUGUUUGACAGGGAUGGAUUUUCAUAUUGAACUAAAAUGUUGUAAAACAGUUAAAAAUCUAAUCUUGCAACAAUUCUUCGUAUCCACAACAUAAUUUGCUUGACUUGGACUUAAUUUAUGGAUGGGGACCAAACACAAAGCAUACUAGAAAGGAACCAACAAUAUCAAUAUCCAUUGAAACAAAGGGACAGGACCAACAAUAUCAGUAUCCAUUGACCUACUAGCGCAGGCUGGACAAACCACACUCUAAUUAUUUAAAUCCCUCUAAUUAUUUACUGUCAUCCCGGGACCUUGCUUCUAGUCCAGAAUUUUGGGUUUUUUUUAUUUAUGUUGACAGACAAAACUGAACAUUGUUCAUGUGCAGAAGUUCAUCCAGGGACCUUGAUUUACUGUCAAUGUAAAAGCUCAUCCAGAAACACCUUAAUUUCUGUCAGCAUGAAAACCCACACUUCUAUAAAAAUUCAAAUCAAGGUACUGGUUCUCACAAGAGCCGGGUUCCAAUGAUUUUCAGGAGAGGAGAGGGAUGGCCAUCGAGGCAAGCAGUCUCAUCGAUGGACGCAAAGAACUAUUCAGAUCGAGCCAUGGCCGCUGGGUGUCGGACGAGGAGCAAGAAGAGACAGCUCUAGAGUUUGCAGGGGAGGGGAUGGAGAGGUGGAGGAUAGGGGAGGAAUCACAUCAGGAAUAACCGGCGGAGGACGUUGACGCUCUAGCGUCGGCGGGGUGGUGAAGAUCCGGCGGCGGGGCGGCUCCUCUCAGUGGCAGCGAGGGUGUUGCUUUGCCUGUCCUGUUCGGACGACGGCGACGCGAGGAGGAGGCUGCGGCCGACGGCGGCACGUCGAGGAGGAGGCUGUUGCCGACGGCGGCGCGAGGACUAGACUCCGGUCUCGCGCAUGGCUCCAAUUCCGCGAGGGCCUCCUCGUGCCUUCUGAACCGCGUGGGUUCUCCUCUGAAACCUCGGGUGGAUUGGGCCAGCGAAACCUCGCAUACCAAACAGCCCGUCGGGGAUUGUAGAGGUUUCUGGGCCCCUCGUGGAUUCUCCUCUGAAAUCCCCUCCUACCCUCGCGUACCAAACGAGGCCUUAGGAAUAGAGAUUUAUAGAGAUACUGUCACGCGCAGAUCAUGGUCUAAGCUUUGAUGCGGUUACGCGUAUUCGAGAUUUGAUUAAUUAUAAGCAUGGAAGUGAUGCAAAUACGUUAGUACUGUGUCGCAGUGUGUUUGGUCAACUUCCUCAGGUGUUCAUCGUGUAGGAGUAGUACGUCUUUUUUUUUUGAGACGGGAGUAGUACGUCUUUGGUAAGCAACAUGACACAAAUAUGGUAAUACUAUCGUCCAGAGUUAUGAACAUUUGUUCAGACAUGAUGCGUCGUGGCAAGCCGAAGCCGGCCACUCAUACCCAUACCCCGAUACUCAUGCGUGCCAUCUCACCAUCACAACGGACGAGAUCCCUACUUGCUCUUAAUUAAUCCUGACACCGGCAAAACAAACCCUCCCAUUCAUCCCGCACACGAGCGAGCUCAUCUACAGAGAAUGAAGGAGGCCGCUCAAAGUCAGGAGGAGGAGGAGGAGCCAUGGGUGAUCUAUUCCAACCGAGUGAUUAACAAACAUGUUUACCUAACUAGCCAGUCGUAUUGGGAACCAAAGCAAAUGAAUGGAACUACUCUCUUUCAUUGAUGAUUCUACAUAUAUAGGUACACAAAGGACGCCUCGUUGGAGAGGCGUCUGUAUGUGAACCGGCGCGACGGUUGCCCAAAUAGCAUCCGUCAGCGGUUAAUACAGGCAGGGAUUGUUCCUUAAUUAAGUAUUUAAUUAAUCUUAACACUCCCCCUAAUCCAUGCUUAUCCAGGUAGCAUCAUCAUCUUGAAAGAGUCUCCUCCAAAGACCUUGUGGGAAAAAUAUGAGGAGUGGUGUAGAAUAUGUUGCUAAAACUCCUUCAAACCCAGUGGAAAAAAUAAGGAGAAAAUGGUGCAACAUAUAAUGGUUAUUGUCUCUUUCAACUCAAUACGAAAAAACCCAUAGAGUUUAGAGGACAAUAAAUAUGUCGUAUAUACUUCCUUAAAAAUCCCGGUGGGGAAAACAGAAAGUAUGACACAUGAUCUCAUGUUGAUAUUACCUCAUUAAAAACCUUUAUGAGAACCUGAAAAAUAAACUCAUGAAGGAAAAAAGAGUAUAAUAUAAUGCAUUCAACAGGAAUAAUUCAGGAAGAUACUCCCCCCUGAUUCUUGCAAAAUUCGAAACCGUCACAUACCAAAACAUAGAAGUUGGUAGAGACCCCUGAACAAAUCAGUCAUGAUUUGACUUGCAAGAUAUGCAAUAUAGUGAUAUUGCUUAUUAUGUAACCUGUUUUCAUCCGGGCAACACAAGAAGCAUUAUCGUUGAGAUAAUGGUUGGUGAAUGUAGCCAUGAGGUCUGUUUUGAAGACUCUUCAUGAGAGGGCUACCACACCUAGUAGGAACACUAAACUUGUCUAUGAUCUGAUAUAGUGGGGAUGAUCGAUGUAUCCAAUGAUAUUGGUGUUCAGAUUUCUCCGAAACUAAAAAACCAGGACAAGAUGUUUCAUGCCUUGGAGAUAUCGAAAGAUAUUCUUGAGUACCAACCAACUGUGUUUGGUGGAUCCAAUGGCAUUACGGAACGUUGAGUCCCAAUAUCUCAUUUCCAUCAUCUCUUGGUCUAAAUAGAUCUUUCUCUACGUCUAGAGAAUGAACUACCAUGAGAGUUAUAGAUGGAUAAGAUUUGUCCACAAUGAAUUUCGCUAAUAUAUUAUGGAUAUAGACAACAUAGUAUACAAUAAUGUAUGAAUGAAGGUGCUCAAGUUGUAGUAACGAGCGAUAUUUUGGUUUACACAAAUCCUUCACUUAAACUCCAUUGUUUAGAUGAUUAUAUGUGUCAUCAUUGCAGAGACACAAACAUGGAUAAUCAUCACUGUAGGAGUAAUCCUUGUGUAUAAAGAACUCACUACGUCGGUUGUACCAUAUGUACCGACAACAAUAAGUCUUAUGGUGACUUAUUGCUUUUACACAAUGUAUGUUGCAUAUUGCAUUUCGAUUCAGAAGCGAGAUUCCAUCGGCAAUCAAUCAUAUGUGUCUGAAUCUAGUGAUCCACAUGGAUAUGUGAGCACUACAUCUAUCAACUGCAUAUAUAGAUGAUUUUGUACUGCCAAUGAUAUAAGUUAUCGGAAAGAGAUUCCACCUCUGGAGAAUAGUUAGGUAUCUGCGUAAACCCUUGUGCUACAAUACUUGCUCUUUGUUUCACCACCUCGUUGUUCUCAAUUCUGUUUCUAGAAGAAAACUGAUGUAGGUAUUGCUUAUGAAUACCUUCCCAUUAUUGAGCAAGAUCAUUUCUACCUAGAUUAUACCCUUUGCUUGAGUUCAGUCCGAGUGUUGUUCACACUUUGCCAUGGCCAUGGUCUUUGGAUCUGAAUCACUUGAAAGGUUUUUUCAAUCUAGUUGAGGAAUGUAUGUCGACAAUUGUAGUCUUUCGGUUAUAUGUUUCUCCAGAAUCUAUAUAUCAAUAUAUAGUUGAUGGAAAUAUCGUUACCCAUAGUGACUGCUCGCGAUUUCUCAAUGCGAUUGAGUCGGGUAUUCCAAUGUCCCGGUCAUUUUGUGCACUAUGACCUGGGUUGGUGGAGGUUUCCCGUCCACUGGGUGUAUACUACCCAUCAGGUGUCUGUCAACGUGAAGUUGACUUGCAUUUACUGAUUCACAUGCCUUGAUAUCCUUGCUUGCGAGAAGCUGAAUCCUGAUGUGCUAUUGUCGUACUUCUUCCCCUGUUGCUUUGAACGGGGAGUUGAGUGGUUUUAGUUGGUACCUCCACUCUUUUCGGCAUAUUUUUUAGGAUUGUAGGAUUGUAUGACACCUUUAUAGUCAGUAAAUGAAUCUGGCAGGUUAUUUGCAUUGUGUUGCAAAUCUUCUUAAUGCAUGGUUCAGAUCUUUGAGUACGUGGAUUUGAGGCAGAAAUGUGUUGAACAUUCCACUAAUUUCCUGGCAUUCUUUAUGGUACUUGAAAUCACCCCCUAAUGCCUGGAAAUGUUCCUCAUUGAAUCAACAUACUGGCCUUAAAUAACUCCCCAUGCGAGGGGCUUGAGGUAUUGACGGAAAUACAGUUAUUCCUCACAUGGAUCCCAACUAUAUGUUGAGGGGCCAAUGAUGUAUGUUGGGGUGGUGAUAUCGGUAUGCAACCGAAAUACUGCAGAUGGGAAAUACUUGGUAGAUUUCCACGUAUCAAAGAUAGAGGGGAAUAAUAGUAUGCAGUUUGGUCAUGAGCGUGUAAAACUGCAUGACUCCAACGUAAAGUUUGUAAAUUGCAAUUCCAAAGUAAAGAUAAUGCAAUGAGCUUAACUCUUUGGAUAAAGGAUUCUACCAAACCAUUUUGAGUCUAGACACUAGGACAAAUUGCUAAACUUCAAUCCAAGGGCCAUAAAAGAAGGCACUCAAGGAGAAUUCUGCAAUGUUAUCCAUUCGAUUUGCUUGAAAUCAAUGUCAGGAUAAUGAGCCAAUUGUUUCGUGUGAAUAAAGCACACACUUAAGACCAUCAUGUAGAUAUGUCUUUUAGAACCAUGGAAUACCAGAAUAGUCUAGUCAAUGGAUGGGAAGAGCCACUUACCUCAACUUGAUGUAUUCAAGGAGUCUGAGUGGUUCAGCGUAGACUUUAAGGUGUGCGAGCCUUAAAAUUAGCUUUCCUGUGUCACUUGUAGUGCACAUAAAAUCCAAAUGGUGUUAGAAUUUAGCAUCAUAAUAAUCAUAAACUAUUGGAAUUGCUGAUGGUUUCGGUUUCAACCCAAUGUCUCGAUGACCAAGAUGAGUAUACCAAGUUUUUCAUGUACAAGACAUUUUGGAAAACUAUCUUGGGCGUAACAUAUGCUACGGAUUUUGUAGUAUGUGUAGUAUAAUCCAGAUGAUACAUAGAGAAUGUGCUUACCAUAUCCGUUGCAUAUGGUAAAGAGAAUGUAUUUCUCUUUCUUGUUAGCAUAAGUUUCGCUAUGGAAACCAUUUUGACAAAUAUGUCUAUAGCUUAGUAGGGUACGAGUUAAACUUGGGAAGCAAUGAAGCAUUAUGACGUUACUCAAGUACCCAUAGGGAUAGUAAAUAUGACUCGAGUUGAGCCAACAAAUACCUCAUCGCAUCUAGUGAUUUUAAAAUAUCUUCUUUCUCUCAAUGAGAGUGGAAACAUUGGACUUCCCUGAGUAUAGAGUUUGUGGUGCAUAUGCCCACAAGGCACACAUCAUUUUUCAUCGAAUUGACUCCCGUAGAAAUCUAUAUAUAGACAUGAAGAUUCUCAAGAAAAUCACUGUCGGAUAUAUAGAAUACAUACAAAUGAAUUUGUAUCAAAGUGCUGAUACAAUAUAUGAUGACAACAAUAAUCAUGUUCUUAUGAAAACAUCAUAAAUGGACAUAAAUAAAUAGAUAACUGAGGAGACUAAGGGACUAAAUGUAUAGUCUCCAAACAUGUCAGUUGAUGCAUAUUCAACCAUCAUGCUCUUCAUGCUCAUAGGGUCUCAUGACAGCUUGAUGGUGUCAGGUUGAGGGUUUGAAGUGAGUUUCAAACCAUUACCCUUGAGGUCCUCUGCAUCCCGGUGGCGUGGCUUGGAUUGCACGCGCUAUCCCAUGGGAUGCAAGACUGAUCUUGAUGUCCAUGACCCGCUUAAGUAAGGUGUGGCCAUUGAGGGCAAGUGCCUCAAAUUGUUAGUCAUCGAUUACUUAUAGCGGCAAGCGAGAGAUAAUUAAUUUACAAGAAGUAAACUAAAAACCAUCAUAGUUUUGUAAUAAGAAUGCAAAAAUUUGACUCAAGUGUAUAACUUGAAAAUGCUCAACCUCAAUUGUGGGAACAUAAACAUAUGGGCAGUAGAUCAUACAGAUCUCACAGUAAUAGAGAUAGUCUACACAUGGGCAGUAAAUCCAACUCAUCACCUUGUGUUUUCCUAAUAUAAUGAGGGAGAUGUUAUUGUCAAAAUUUUAGAAGUUUGUUGUAACACCCUCGAUGCGACUAUAUCUCCCACGUGUCGAGGCACGACUUAGAGGCAUAAUCGCAUUGAAGGCAUAUGUCGCAAGUGAGGUAAUCUUCACACAACCCAUGUAAUAUAAUAAGGAAAAGGAUACAUAGUUGGCUUACAAUCGCCACUUCACACAAUUACAUGAAUAAAGCAUUACAUCAACCAAAUACAAUCAGGGCCUGACUACGGAGCCAAAAUAAAAGAAGAACCCCAAAUGCGACAAAGGUCCCCGAUCGACCCCAACUGGGCUCCACUACUGAUCAACUAGAACGGAAACAACACAAAGGACAAGAUCUUCAUCGAGCUCCUCCUGAGCUUGGUUGCAUCAUCUGCAUGGACUCAACGGCACCUGCAAGCUGGUUUUGGAAGUAUCUGUGAGCGACGGGGACUCAACAAUCUCGCACCCUCGCGAUCAAGACUAUUUAAGCUUAUGGGUAAGGUAAAGGUAUGAGGUGGAGCUGCAGCAAGCGACUAGCAUAUAUGGUGGCUAACAUACGCAAAUGAGAGCGGGAAGAGAAGGCAAAGCACGGUCGAUAAAGGUAUGAUCAAGAAGUGAUCCUGGACUACCAACGUCAAGCAUAACUCCAACAACCGUGUUCACUUCCCGAACUCCGCCGGAAAGAGACCAUCACGGUUACACACGCGGUUGAUGUAUUUUAAUUAAGGUCAACUUCGGGUUUUCUACAACCGGACGUUAACAAAUUCCCAUCUGCCCAUAACCGCGGGCACGGCUUUCGAAAGUUCAACUCCCUGCAGGGUGUCCCAACUUAGCCCAUCACAAGCUCUCACGGUCAACGAAGGAAUAGACCUCCACCCGAGACAUUCCGAUCAGACUCGGUAUCCCGGUACAACAAGACAUUUCGACAGGGUAAAACUAAACCAGCAACACCGCCCGAAUGUGCCGACAAAUCCCGAUAGGAGCUGCACAUAUCUCUUUCUCAGGGCACACUCAGAUGAGCGCUCCGUACAACUAAAACCAAACCUCGAGUUGCCCCGAGGGGGCGCUGCACAGGACUCUAGUUCGGACCAACACUUAGACAAGCACUGGCCCGGGGGGGUUAAGAUAAAGAUGACCCUCGGGAUGCGCGACUCCCAAGGGAAAAAGGCUAGGUGGCAAAUGGUAAAACCAAUGUUGGGCAUUGCUGGAAAAGCUUUACUUAAGGCGAACUGUCAAGGGGUUCCCAUUAUAGCCCAACCGCGUAAGGGACGCAAAAUCCGGGAACAUAACACCGAUAUGACGGAAACUAGGGCGGCAAGAGUGGAACAAAACACCAGGCAUAAGGCCGAGCCUUCCACCCUUUACCAAGUAUAUAGAUGCAUUAAUAAAAUAAGAUAUAUAGUGAUAUCCCAACAAGUAAAUAAAUGUUCCAACAAGGAACGGGUAUCUCCAUGUUCCAACAAGGAACAAACUUCAAUCUUCACCUGCAACUACCAACGCUAUAAGAGGGGCUGAGCAAAGCGGUAACAUAGCCAAUCAACGGUUUGCUAGGACAUUGGUGGGUUAGAGGCUGAACAUGGCAAUUUGGGUGGCUGACAAGCAAGUGGUAGGCAUCGUAGCAAUGGCAUAGCAAAAGAGCGAGCAAACUAGCAUAGCAAAGAUAGUAGUGAUUUCAAGGGUAUGAUCAUCUUGCCUGAAAUCCCGCAAGGAAGAAGAACGAGUCCAUGAAGAAGACAAACGGACGUAGACGAACGGAUCCUCACAACCUCGACGUUAUCGGAACCAACCCGAAGAAGCAAACACCGGAAAAGAAGCACACAACAUAGUAAACAACCACCACAACAACAUGGCACGAUGCACAAUCGAGUAUGAUGCAUGUCCGGUUUAAUGAAACAUGGCAUGGCAAAAUGCAACAAACAACACUACAAAUUAAGUGGAGCUCAAUACGCAACGAGUUGCAUAUUGAUGAAACACCACGACACGUUAUUUAGUUUGAUCUCGUUUAUGUACUCAACAAUAUUAAAUGUUGGUUAACAUGGCAAGAGGGUGAAGCAAAGUAAAACUAUCUAUCUAGUCAAGUUUAAAGGAGGCCGGAAGCAACGAACAACAAUUCCGGAAACUCCCAUAUGCAUAUUUUAGAUUAGGUCCUGUUCUGCCCUAAACACAAUUUUAGGGUUGUUAAACAUGCAAAGUAAGGCCACCAUGUUAAACUAGGCAAAAUUCUACCCCAUUUACAUAUAAAGUUUAUUUAAAUCGGAGCUACGGUUAUUUAGUUAUGAAUUAAAUCAUUUUAGCAUGGCAUAGGAGUAAAUUAAUGCAAACAACAUUUUUAACAUUUCAAACAUAGAUGAAAGUUGGAUAUUAUUAAUCUACACAAAAUUCUGAGCAAGUUUCAUAUAUAAAACAUUUUAAUCCGAUGCACGGUUGUGAAGUUAUUAAUGCAUGAAGUUUAGGGUUUUUUUUGUAAAAACAGCAAUCUCUGGAUAAAUAGACAAAUUCGCAACGCAGGAAAAAAAACUACGCGGGCCGAAACCAAACCACACGGGCCGACGCAGGAAACAAAAGUGCGCUGGGGGCGCAGGAUAGCGCGUGGGCGCUCACCAGAGGGCCACUGGGCCGGGCGAGUUGGGCCUUGAGGCGCUGCGGCUGGCGCGGGUCGCGGAGCGAGCGAGCUGGGCCUUGGCUCGGGCCCAGUCUGGAGGGCACGGUGGAGCAGGAGGCUGGAGCCGGCUGGGCUGGAUCUGGCGCGGCUGGAGAGGCUGGCGCGCUGGGCCGCGAAGGGGAGGGGCCGAGGCCCAUGUGGGGAGGUCGGGCCACGAGGCCGGCAGCGCCUGCGUCGUCCUCCCGACGCACAGAGACGAGGCCGGCGGCGCGGAAGGCGAUUUGAGCCGGCAGUGGGCGAGGGAUGGCCGGAGGAGUCUGGGAUGGGGCGGAUCCGGCGGAUCCCGGCCGGAUCCAUCCGUUCCCGGUGGCGGCGGCGGCAGAACGACUCCAUGGCGGCGGCGGCUACCUGCGGGAGGAAGGGAUCGGCGGGGUGAGCACGAGAAGUGAAGGAGGAGAAGGAGAGAAGGUGAAGGUCGACGAGGAGGCGGCGACCUGGGGCGGAGGACUGCAGGGCGCGGCGGCGGGGUCGGCGGCGCAGAUCGGGAGGCGCGGGCGAGCGAGCUGCUCGGGCGACGGAGAUGCGAGCGAGAGCCAGGNNNNNNNNNNNNNNNNNNNNNNNNNNNNNNNNNNNNNNNNNNNNNNNNNNNNNNNNNNNNNNNNNNNNNNNNNNNNNNNNNNNNNNNNNNNNNNNNNNNNNNNNNNNNNNNNNNNNNNNNNNNNNNNNNNNNNNNNNNNNNNNNNNNNNNNNNNNNNNNNNNNNNNNNNNNNNNNNNNNNNNNNNNNNNNNNNNNNNNNNNNNNNNNNNNNNNNNNNNNNNNNNNNNNNNNNNNNNNNNNNNNNNNNNNNNNNNNNNNNNNNNNNNNNNNNNNNNNNNNNNNNNNNNNNNNNNNNNNNNNNNNNNNNNNNNNNNNNNNNNNNNNNNNNNNNNNNNNNNNNNNNNNNNNNNNNNNNNNNNNNNNNNNNNNNNNNNNNNNNNNNNNNNNNNNNNNNNNNNNNNNNNNNNNNNNNNNNNNNNNNNNNNNNNNNNNNNNNNNNNNNNNNNNNNNNNNNNNNNNNNNNNNNNNNNNNNNNNNNNNNNNNNNNNNNNNNGGGCGGGCGCCUCGGGCCCAGAUCGGCCCGGGGUGGGCCUCCGCUGGGCUUCGGGCGGAUGGGGGCGCUGGAGGGAGGCAGGGGCGACGUGGCGGCCCCCGGUUGGCUCGGGGCGCGCCGGCGGCGGCGCCAAGUGGCGGAGCUGGAGCGGGUAGCGCGGAAAUGGAGGUGGGAGGCGGCUAGAGGUAGGUGGGGGGGCUAGGGAUGCCCAAAAAUGGAAGGGGAAGGUCUAUAUAUAGACAAGGGAGCUAGGUUAGGGGGAUUUUUGUCCGUUCCGGAGCCUCCGAUCGCGAUCUGACGGACCAGAACGGAGGGGGGGNNNNNNNNNNNNNNNNNNNNNNNNNNNNNNNNNNNNNNNNNNNNNNNNNNNNNNNNNNNNNNNNNNNNNNNNNNNNNNNNNNNNNNNNNNNNNNNNNNNNNNNNNGCGGAAAUGGAGGUGGGAGGCGGCUAGAGGUAGGUGGGGGGGCUAGGGAUGCCCAAAAAUGGAAGGGGAAGGUCUAUAUAUAGACAAGGGAGCUAGGUUAGGGGGAUUUUUGUCCGUUCCGGAGCCUCCGAUCGCGAUCUGACGGACCAAAACGGAGGGGGGGGGGUUUAGAUAGGUGGGCUAGUGGGCUGUGAAGAGAGGUUGGGCUGAGAUGAGAGGAGAGGAGUGCAGCCCGGUAACUGUUUCCGGAGACCGAAAACGUCCGACAUUAGACCGGCUAUACUGACGCUAUAGUUAUCCGUUGGGGCGUCAAACGAACUCCGAAUGCGAUGAAACUUGGCAGGCGGUCUACCUACACUAUAAUAAGACCGCACGACAACUCUCAUCCCAUUCUGAGAACAUUUUCCGGCCACUAAUAAAAUACUAUCUUGGACAUGCCGCGGGCGCGUGCAAGUGUGGUUGGGCUCAGAACGGACAACGGAAGGAACGAGGAGACCGGGACGGAUGCAAGUUUUGAAAACAUGAUGAUGCAAUGCACAUGAUGACAUGAUGAAAUGCAACACGCAAGCCAAUGACAAGACAACAACAACGAAUAACUGCACGACACCUGGCACAUCGGUCUCGGGGCGUUACAACACUGCACCACUAUGAGAGGAUCUCGUCCCGAGAUCUAGAAUGGCACCGGAGGGAAAACGAAAGGGAAAGAGAAGCGGUAAAACUAAGUUGCUUCUUUGACCAAUGAGUGAAACCAUGAACCUUGAGAGGUUGAGCAAUUUAAAAGAAAGAGUACAGCAGAGACGAACGAGAUUGCAAACAAUCCGUUAGAAAAGAGGAAAAAGGAACAUUACGAGGACUUGAAGGUUGCGAAGCUAUGAAUGACGAGUACAAUGGACAAGAAGGAAUUGAAAUCACUCUGGUUGAAACGAGAUAAACAAGGAACAAGGAAGAUCAAAAUCGGACAGCACUCCGGUUGGAAAGAGAUGCAAGACUUGAUAAGAUGAAAAAGAACUUGAAAGAAAAAGGCAGGACACUCCGGUUAAAUGGAUAAGCAUGAAAAGAACACGAUCCUGACAAAACAAGAUGAUGAUUGAAGAGCACAACAUCACAAUGCCUCCGGAACGAAAGAAUAGAAGUUGUAUCGACGGAACAAAAGAACGGAGAAGAAAACAACAUCUUCUACCUCCAAUGAGCUUGAAAAACAUCUUAAAGAGAAGGGUCACACGGAGUUGUUGAAACAAUCCACAACGAAAAGAAUAAAUUUGAUAUGGUCUUAUGGAAAACAUCUCAAAUUAUGAGGUGACAGCCUGCCACUCACGGGAAAAGAAUUGAUUGGAUUUAUAUGACAAGGAGACGAGAAACUUAUUCCGCCGGGAGGAUAAAUGAAGAACUUGGGUCAUUUAUAAGCACCAUAGACAGCAACAAACCUUAGGGAAGGCUUUAGGUGGAAUAUAACCCAAGAUAAUUCCAACGAAUAGGUUGAUGGAUUUAAAAUAUCUCAUACUUGAUAACUUGUGAAUCAUGAAACACGAAGGAAAAUUAUCGGAAAUGACAUAACACCACCUCCGAUAAUAUGGUAGACAGAAUCUCACUCCGGAUUACAAGAAGAAGACUGCUUGAGCUCCUUAAAAGAAUCUCGAUGAAAACUUCAAGAAGGAAAUAAAUCCUUGAUGAACCAUCAUGUAGAACCUCCAUGAAGAACUCCGGUAACAAAAAGAUGAUCCAAUGGAAGGAAAAAGAAGUUGAAAACACAAGGUGAAACCUUGUAAUGAUUUAGAUGAAUCUCUGCAACGAGAUAAAGAGAAAACUUGGCACUCCGGUAAACAAAGAUGAACAAAUGGAAACAAGAAUUUGAUGAGCCUCAGGAAUAAGGGAUUAAUAUCUUGGGUGAAGCAAGAAUAAGAAUUACAUUAUGCUUAUCCUUCACCAUUUUAAAAUUGAUGACAAGCAACGGAUUUGGCAUACUACUUAUUCUCGUAGAAGGAUUAAGACAGAUAUUGCGCAAACUUGAGAAAGUCUUCAACGAUCCAUCGGUAGAAUUUAGAAAGCACGAAUGCAUAGAUAUGAUACACGAAGGAAGAAAACUCUUGAACGAACCACCGUAAGAAUUAAAAUAAAUGAAGUAAAGGGAUGAAUCACCGGUUAGAAUUAGCAAAUACACGAAGAUGCUUGAGAGGAUUUAGAUACAUGAGAACGACGAGAUCACGAGCCGAUUAAAGAUCACUUGAACGAAGCACCGGUAAGAUUUAGAGUAUGCGAGCUGAAAGCUGGACUGAAUCAAUCUUAGAUGAUGGGCUCCGGAUAAUCCGACAGAAAAUACUCUGAAUUACUCCGGAUGAGUGAAAAGAAUUCUGACAAUCGAAAACAACUAUAAGAGGAUGGCAUAGCGCUAGAACCACGAAUUUUGAAGAGAAAGGAGCAAGAUUGAGAGAAAAAAUCUUCUUCGGUCUUCAAAUGCUGGGAAUGACGAUGAGAAACACCACCAAAUUGUUGAGAUCUCCAGGAUUAAAAUUGGAAAGGUUGAACCAACGAUGAAAGAAUUUGAAAGAUCAAGGAGAAAGGCGUUUGACUGAUGAUAACUCAAUCUUACGUCAAACUUGGAAAAGAAUUUGAGAGUAACGCCGGGAAAAUAAGAAGAGUCAGGUAAGAUCCUGGAAAAAGACCUGUGGGUUAGGGCCCACUCAAAAGAAAACACUGUUGAACGAUUUAAAAGAGAGGUUGCACCGGUUGAGUUAAAUGGCUUGAAUGAGGGAACAUCCUCGAAAGAACUUGAACGAAAGUAGAGUGGAAACACGAAUCUUCGAGAUAUCUUGAGCACUCCGGAACAAUUGAAUAGCGGGAAGUGAAUUAUUAUGAGGUGCACCGGUAUGAGAAUGUAUUUGAAACGAGAAAAGGGGAUAUAAUCGACAAAUCUUGACUUGAAUCCACCGGAGAAGAAAAGAACGAGGAAUGACGAACUUGAAGCUCCAUUAGAAUCUUCAUGAGAAUCACCGGAUAAGAACAUUGACGGAAAAGAAUGGAGAAACUUCCCAUCAAUAAAAUGGAUACUUGAAGAAGAAAUCUUAGUCCUUGAAGAAAAACAAAAGGGAGGGAGGGUGGUAAAAACAAAGGCAACUUGGAGACGGAUGAAACAAACACCGUUGAGAAGAAGGGAUAAAUGAUCUUGCAAAUGUUGACGUGAACGGAUCCACUUGAGGAGAGACACACCGGUUGAAAAGGAUUGACAUGACAAUCUCGAUUGUCGAGAAGGAUUGGUAUUCACAUCGGAGUAUGAGAACACCAUUUCGGAAAGGUAUGGAAUCAACACUUGACAUUGAAGCAACUCGAAUACCACAACUCAAAACAAAAACAAAGGACUGGCUUGCGAAUAAGCCGGAACAAACAUAUGAUAGAGAUUUCGUCCGAAGUUUUCGUGGUGGGGCCUACACGGGCUCGAUCGUACAGCACCAUCAUGUACAAGGCAGUGCACAUGACAUACGAAGCGUCCCCGAGUCGGCAUAGCCAAGGACUCUUUAAAACACAACGAGAUCACUGUAAAAUCGACCGUGAAUAGGCGGACCACUAGACGUCGAACCCCAAUUUCAUAUCAUACAUCUGUCGGAAAGAUAUCCUAAGAGCUACUUGAAUUCCCACCUAUGAAACUCCCGAAAUUUUCCGGUUAUGCAAUCAGGUGUUGGGGAUACAGGGGAAGCAUAAUAUCUCACCCAAACUAGCAAAUCCUAUAUCCAGUUGUAUCCAUCCUUCAACACAUAACCAAGAAACCUUCGGAAAUCAUCUACCUCAACCUUCGAAAAGCAUCCGUUAUACAAGUUAUGGCGAUACUCCUGAACUCCCGCCCCAGUACUGGGUGGCGUCGAGGUUAUCUCACCAACGAACUGCAUAAAAGAGAUUUCCGAUGUCGCGCACAUAUCUCAAGUAUACCAGAAUUGCAACGAUAAAAUUAUGACGACAACACCUCAGAGCUCAACUCCCCGGGACACUUCCACUAAACCCCUGACAGGAGGCACCAAGACAAUGUUCUCAUCAUAAAACCAUCGGAACGAUUCCAAGAUACCCGCGUGAUCCUAAAAUUUUUUUAGUGAAAUUUGAGAAGAGAAGAGUCAAAACUCUACGUCAUGAUGCCUCACCAGAGCGACGAAGGGACUGGGGAGUAAAAAGAAUUCCUAAACUCUCCGAUAUAUAAUUCCUAAAGGACUCAAAACAUUUUUCUAGACACAACUCGGCCGCUAAAAACGAUCAAUCAGUGGGGGCUCCUAAGGUCGGGGAAGGCUCUGAUACCAACUUGUAACACCCUCGAUGCGACUAUAUCUCCCACGUGUCGAGGCACGACUUAGAGGCAUAAUCGCAUUGAAGGCAUAUGUCGCAAGUGAGGUAAUCUUCACACAACCCAUGUAAUAUAAUAAGGAAAAGGAUACAUAGUUGGCUUACAAUCGCCACUUCACACAAUUACAUGAAUAAAGCAUUACAUCAACCAAAUACAAUUAGGGCCCGACUACGGAGCCAAAAUAAAAGAAGAACCCCAAAUGCGACAAAGGUCCCCGAUCGACCCCAACUGGGCUCCACUACUGAUCAACUAGAACGGAAACAACACAAAGGACAAGAUCUUCAUCGAGCUCCUCCUGAGCUUGGUUGCAUCAUCUGCACGGACUCAACGGCACCUGCAAGCUGGUUUUGGAAGUAUCUGUGAGCCACGGGGACUCAGCAAUCUCGCACCCUUGCGAUCAAGACUAUUUAAGCUUAUGGGUAAGGUAAAGGUAUGAGGUGGAGCUGCAGCAAGCGACUAGCAUAUAUGGUGGCUAACAUACGCAAAUGAGAGCGGGAAGAGAAGGCAAAGCACGGUCGAUAAAGGUAUGAUCAAGAAGUGAUCCUGGACUACCUACGUCAAGCAUAACUCCAACAACCGUGUUCACUUCCCGAACUCCGCCGGAAAGAGACCAUCACGGUUACACACGCGGUUGAUGUAUUUUAAUUAAGGUCAACUUCGGGUUUUCUACAAUCGGACGUUAACAAAUUCCCAUCUGCCCAUAACCGCGGGCACGGCUUUCGAAAGUUCAACUCCCUGCAGGGUGUCCCAACUUAGCCCAUCACAAGCUCUCACGGUCAACGAAGGAAUAGACCUCCACCCGAGACAUUCCGAUCAGACUCGGUAUCCCGGUACAACAAGACAUUUCGACAGGGUAAAACUAAACCAGCAACACCGCCCGAAUGUGCCGACAAAUCCCGAUAGGAGCUGCACAUAUCUCUUUCUCAGGGCACACUCAGAUGAGCGCUCCGUACAACUAAAACCAAACCUCGAGUUGCCCCGAGGGGGCGCUGCACAGGACUCUAGUUCGGACCAACACUUAGACAAGCACUGGCCCAGGGGGGUUAAGAUAAAGAUGACCCUCGGGAUGUGCGACUCCCAAGGGAAAAAGGCUAGGUGGCAAAUGGUAAAACCAAUGUUGGGCAUUGCUGGAAAAGCUUUACUUAAGGCGAACUGUCAAGGGGUUCCCAUUAUAGCCCAACCGCGUAAGGGACACAAAAUCCGGGAACAUAACACCGAUAUGACGGAAACUAGGGCGGCAAGAGUGGAACAAAACACCAGGCAUAAGGCCGAGCCUUCCACCCUUUACCAAGUAUAUAGAUGCAUUAAUAAAAUAAGAUAUAUAGUGAUAUCCCAACAAGUAAAUAAAUGUUCCAACAAGGAACGGGUAUCUCCAUGUUCCAACAAGGAACAAACUUCAAUCUUCACCUGCAACUACCAACGCUAUAAGAGGGGCUGAGCAAAGCGGUAACAUAGCCAAUCAACGGUUUGCUAGGACAUUGGUGGGUUAGAGGCUGAACAUGGCAAUUUGGGUGGCUGACAAGCAAGUGGUAGGCAUCGUAGCAAUGGCAUAGCAAAAGAGCGAGCAAACUAGCAUAGCAAAGAUAGUAGUGAUUUCGAGGGUAUGAUCAUCUUGCCUGAAAUCCCGCAAGGAAGAAGAAUGAGUCCAUGAAGAAGACAAACGAACGUAGACGAACGGAUCCUCACAACCUCGACGUUAUCGGAACCAACCCGAAGAAGCAAACACCGGAAAAGAAGCACACAACAUAGUAAACAACCACCACAACAACAUGGCACGAUGCACAAUCGAGUAUGAUGCAUGUCCGGUUUAAUGAAACAUGGCAUGGCAAAAUGCAACAAACAACACUACAAAUUAAGUGGAGCUCAAUACGCAACGAGUUGCAUAUUGAUGAAACACCACGACACGUUAUUUAGUUUGAUCUCGUUUAUGUACUCAACAAUAUUAAAUGUUGGUUAACAUGGCAAGAGGGUGAAGCAAAGUAAAACUAUCUAUCUAGUCAAGUUUAAAGGAGGCCGGAAGCAACGAACAACAAUUCCGGAAACUCCCAUAUGCAUAUUUUAGAUUAGGUCCUGUUCUGCCCUAAACACAAUUUUAGGGUUGUUAAACAUGCAAAGUAAGGCCACCAUGUUAAACUAGGCAAAAUUCUACCCCAUUUACAUAUAAAGUUUAUUUAAAUCGGAGCUACGGUUAUUUAGUUAUGAAUUAAAUCAUUUUAGCAUGGCAUAGGAGUAAAUUAAUGCAAACAACAUUUUUAACAUUUCAAACAUAGAUGAAAGUUGGAUAUUAUUAAUCUACACAAAAUUCUGAGCAAGUUUCAUAUAUAAAACAUUUUAAUCCGAUGCACGGUUGUGAAGUUAUUAAUGCAUGAAGUUUAGGUUUUUUUUGUAAAAACAGCAAUCUCUGGAUAAAUAGACAAAUUCGCAACGCAGGAAAAAAAAACUACGCGGGCCGAAACCAAACCACACGGGCCGACGCAGGAAACAAAAGUGCGCUGGGGGCGCAGGAUAGCGCGUGGGCGCUCACCAGAGGGCCACUGGGUCGGGCGAGUUGGGCCUUGAGGCGCUGCGGCUGGCGCGGGUCGCGGAGCGAGCGAGCUGGGCCUUGGCUCGGGCCCAGUCUGGAGGGCGCGGUGGAGCAGGAGGCUGGAGCCGGCUGGGCUGGAUCUGGCGUGGCUGGAGAGGCUGGCGCGCUGGGCUGCGAAGGGGAGGGGCCGAGGCCCAUGUGGGGAGGUCGGGCCACGAGGCCGGCAGCGCCUGCGUCGUCCUCCCGACGCACAGAGACGAGGCCGGCGGCGCGGAAGGCGAUUUGAGCCGGCAGUGGGCGAGGGAUGGCCGGAGGAGUCUGGGAUGGGGCGGAUCCGGCGGAUCCCGGCCGGAUCCAUCCGUUCCCGGUGGCGGCGGCGGCAGAACGACUCCAUGGCGGCGGCGGCUACCUGCGGGAGGAAGGGAUCGGCGGGGUGAGCACGAGAAGUGAAGGAGGAGAAGGAGAGGAGGUGAAGGUCGACGGGGAGGCGGCGACCUGGGCGGAGGACUGCAGGGCGCGGCGGCGGGGUCGGCGGCGCAGAUCGGGAGGCGCGGGCGAGCGAGCUGCUCGGGCGACGGAGAUGCGAGCGAGAGCCAGGCGGCUCUCGGGCACGCNNNNNNNNNNGGGCGGGCGCCUCGGGCCCAGAUCGGCCCGGGGUGGGCCUCCGCUGGGCUUCGGGCGGAUGGGGGCGCUGGAGGGAGGCAGGGGCGACGUGGCGGCCCCCGGUUGGCUCGGGGCGCGCCGGCGGCGGCGCCAAGUGGCGGAGCUGGAGCGGGUAGCGCGGAAAUGGAGGUGGGAGGCGGCUAGAGGUAGGUGGGGGGGCUAGGGAUGCCCAAAAAUGGAAGGGGAAGGUCUAUAUAUAGACAAGGGAGCUAGGUUAGGGGGAUUUUUGUCCGUUCCGGAGCCUCCGAUCGCGAUCUGACGGACCAGAACGGAGGGGGGGGUUUAGAUAGGUGGGCUAGUGGGCUGUGAAGAGAGGUUGGGCUGAGAUGAGAGGAGAGGAGUGCAGCCCGGUAACUGUUUCCGGAGACCGAAAACGUCCGACAUUAGACCGGCUAUACUGACGCUAUAGUUAUCCGUUGGGGCGUCAAACGAACUCCGAAUGCGAUGAAACUUGGCAGGCGGUCUACCUACACUAUAAUAAGACCGCACGACAACUCUCAUCCCAUUCUGAGAACAUUUUCCGGCCACUAAUAAAAUACUAUCUUGGACAUGCCGCGGGCGCCUGCAAGUGUGGUUGGGCUCAGAACGGACAACGGAAGGAACGAGGAGACCGGGACGGAUGCAAGUUUUGAAAACAUGAUGAUGCAAUGCACAUGAUGACAUGAUGAAAUGCAACACGCAAGCCAAUGACAAGACAACAACAACGAAUAACUGCACGACACCUGGCACAUCGGUCUCGGGGCGUUACAUUUGUUGUGCGGGAGAAAUCAAUCACGACCGCUGUGACAUGUUCAUAAAGAAUGUCAGGUAAACACACAGAACAUAUCAUUCCCGGUGAAAAACCGGUAAUUUAUUUAUAUUACAGAUUGCGUAAUAUAAAUACAUCUUAAUGUUGCAAAAUUAAUAGAUUUCAAGAAGGUGGCUCGAAAUCAUUAGUGUGAAUCUCAAACUGCUAAGGAUGACACCUUGAAUUUUGCGUAUGUAUUUGCAAGAAAUUGAAAAUCUCAAUUGCAAAUAGACGUAUUAAUCUCGACAUGUAGCGAACAUGGAGAUACAUACAUUCCGGAAUACAUCGUACUCAACAGAAAUACACUACUAUUGUAUUGAAUAGUAAUGAUGUUGCAAACUUGAUGUUCAAGUGAAAAAACUUGAAUUGUAUAGACCUCAAAUUAAAUGAGAUAAUCUUGUAUCAAGUUGCAAGAUAAUUCAGCGGGGUGAAUUAAUAUUUUGCGAGAGAAAAUUAAUCUCAAUCGCAAUGAGAUUGCUUUGCGAGGAAAAAAAAUCUCAAUCGCAAAUCAUAUCAAAUAGACAUGUUGUAGGGAUUGGCAAAAUGGCAAAUGGAUCAUGCCAAAAAUCCACAAACAAUGUCAAUCUUUAUUACAGUGCACCCGAGGGUUAGACUGCAGUUUAUACUAAGCCAAAAAAGUCUAAAUGCAAGCAGCAUAAAGAAAUCUGUAAACAUGAGAAACUGAUGGAGUAAAACGCAAACAUCCCAAGGGAUAAGGUCUUCCAUGUUUCCUCUUUCUCGCGUGGAUUCCAUCAGGAAUUUUCCCAAAUAGAAUCAGCCGACGGAAGUGCGGCAUGCCGGAACACGCAUUGCAACUCGCGCCGGUCGCUUCAGUUUGGGCCGAGCGCUGGUUGCUGGCUUGCGUCUCCACCGCAGCCAGCCGCUCCGCCGCGAGGACCCAGACCAGGUGCGGACGUGGUCAAGGCCGUGCAGGAGGGAGCCGCGAGCAGGGCCACGGGCACCGCCACGCCACGCUGAUGCAAGCGGAGGGCGUCGGCCCACUUCCACUUCAGGGAAGUCGCGAGAGGACGCCGAUGCGUCUCGCUCCGGGCUGAGUGCCAUAGCAGGUUGCGCGCCCCUACCGUGUGCGCCGCCGUUGUUGGGAGAGAGAGAGAGAGACCGCGGCCGGAUGCCGACAUCGUCGUGCAGGACGGACCGCCACUCCAAGCGCCAGUGGCUGUCCGUGCCUGAGGACACGCCGUCUGGAGUCGCAGCGGGUCGCGCCGGCCGUCGGAGGGCGUCGCUGGUUGGGCCACCGCCACCAAACAAUGGACGAAGGCCACGCUGCUGCCGCGCUGGCAGGGGUUGCUUGCCGGUCGUUGCCCGCUGCCAUCCAAUUCUCAGGCGCGGACUGGCGGGCGCGCGUGAGGGCGGCCACGGCGAUGGACGGAGCGCGGGAGUGCGGCCACGGCUUGGCGCAGGCGCGAACACGGUCCUGCGCGGGCAACCAGCGGCGCAGACUGGCGCGGGCGCAGACCAGCGGCCGGAGCGGCUGCUCGAUGGCGAGCGCCGAGCGCCGCGAAGGAGUCGCCGGAACCGAAGGCACUCAGAUGUCGAGCGUGCUGAGGCAAAAUUUCGUGUUUUGGCCCUUUUGUGAAACCUAUUCGAGAUCUGGCCCUAGUUUGAAAAAAUUUCGAGAUCUGACCCUUUUGCUACCGCCAGAGUUAAUGGUGGUAGGGUGUAACAACCUACCGUCAGGUACCUUGGCGGUAGGAAACAUCCCUACCGUCAAACAGACUGGCGGUAGCCUGUACAACCCUACCGCCAAGGUGCUCGGCGGUAGGCACGAGCACGCACUGUGUUCAAUAUUUAGCGGGAUUUUGCGGUAGGGCAUGCAACCCUACCGCCAGGGGCCUUGGCGGUAGGUUGUUAUACCUUAUCGCCAUGGACCCUGGCGGUAGCAAAAGGGUCAGAUCUCGAAAAAAUUUCAAACUAGGGUCAGAUCUCAAAUAUGUUUCAGAAAAGGGUCAAAACACGAAAUUUAGCCGUGUGCUGAUAACGUAUUGAGAACCAAAGCAAAUGAAUGGAACUAUUCUCUUUCAUUGAUGAUUCUACAUAUAUAGGUACAGGGAGGACGCCUCGUUGGAGAGGCGUCUGUAUGUGAACCGGCGCGACGGUUGCCGAAAUAGCAUCAGUCGGCGGUUAAUACAGGAAGGGAUUGUCCCUUAAUUAAGUAUUUAAUUAAUCUUAACAAGUCGAUCUCUCUCUAUUCUGUGCAUCCUGGGCGGGGGACCCUGUUCACGCAAUGGGGGCGGAUCCGCCUGAUCAAAGAUGGGCGGUCCACCUCGUCUCCGAUCUAUUUGCACCGGCGCCGUUGCAGUUCCGGCGGGGCGUGCUUCUCCGACGAGGCGACUCGUCGUGGCUGACGUUGCUGGAUGACCGAGGGAUUCAGGUUGACUCGAAGCGGGUGCACGACAGCGAGGUGAUACAGGAGGGGAUGCAGGUCAGGUUCCCUUGUCACGUUGUUUUGGUGGACAGAGCGCUGGGGGCCAGUGCGGAGGCGCGGCGCGACGCGAGAAUCGAGGUCAAGGAGGAGGGGGAGCGUCGGGAAUGGCGGAUAAUUAAAGCCGCGGCGCGUGGUGCGGCCAUUCCAUCCCCUCUCGACGAAAUCCACUCCUCUCUCCUCCUACAAGCGAGCGCUUCGCCCCUGCAGAUCCAUUGCGUCCUGGAAGGCAAGGCUCGAAGCGAGGGAAAGGGAGAUAGCCUCGGGAGACGAGGUGAAGAUGGGGAUGCUGACGGAGAUCAUCUCCUGGUUUGCGGAGGAGCGGGAUCUGAAGGAGGCGGCGCGGUCGGUGUUCAGAAGUCUCAUGGAGGCGGAGGAUCUGCGCCUCUCCCCGUCGAGCAAACCAGUGGGCGCGCUCAGGAUGAUGCUCCAGGCGAUGGAGGAGGCGGCGUCGGACAAUCCCAGGCAUGCCAUGAAGUGGAAGGCGUUCCGCUCAUGCCGCACCACCCCGACAGAUCCGUCGGAGUUCGUCAUUGGGGCGAUGAUGGGUCUUCCUGCGCCGGUGCCGGUGGAGACGAUGGAGGUGCAGGCAGAUCCAGAGAGCGGCAAGGGCAAAGGGGGAGUGAAGCCUAGUUCGAAGAGGAAGAAGGUGAAGAUGCCUCUGGUGCUGAGGAGAUCACUGCGCUUCCCUCGCCAUUCGCUGCGCCUGCUCUGCCUCACCUGUUCCCAGGGGCGGGGAUAGAAACCUCGCCGGUGGGUGGUCGUUUCUAGCUGCUCGCCGGUGAGGACUCCGACAAGGAAGCUAGACCCUCGUUGGAUCUGCAAGGUAUGAACCCCUACCUGAACAAAUAUCUCAUUGACUCUGAUUUGAUGAAAAUCUCGGACAAAACAAGUUUGAACAAAUAGCGGAGAUUGUCUGCUGAAGAUGGGGGGAAAUUGAGAUCAGAGCGCAUUUGGACUCUGGUUUUGAGAGGGAGAAUUCAGAUAGUGUGGAAGAUGAGUUAUAUGAAGAUAAAAUCAGGAAAAAUGCUAGAAAUGUUUCUGCCAAAAAACCUAUUAGUAAAAUUGUUGUGAAGGAUUGGGCUACCCUCUUUGGAGGUGCUAGCUGCAAGGUUGAUUCUGACCAAAUUAGAAGAAGCAAAAAUAUAGCAGAUAAGAUGAAUGCGGGCAAUUAUGCGCAAAUUCCAGACUUCUGGUCUAAUGCAGAGGUAUACUUAGAAUAUAUGGAUAUGGAUAAUUGUCUAGUUUCUAAUGUUGAUGGCUUGGGAAAUGGUAAAGCAAUGUCUCUCCCCGAUUGGGGUAGGAAGACAAUUAUUAGGUCGGAUGGGGGGCAAAAUGUCAAAAAGGAAAGGCGGGAUCCAGAAAUACGCUUUCCUAGCCCUUUUCCCAUAUAAAUAAUGAGCCCCUCCUCUGCUUUGAGAGAGAGUGUGAUCCCCUCGAGGAUUUAGGGUUUCCCCUUCCUCCGCCGCUACCGAGCAAGUAUAGUGAGGUUGAGAUGAUGAAUAGGGGGGUAGGUGGACUCAGGGGAGGAGGAAGGUUCAAUAGGGGAGGGAGAGACAACUACCAAUACAAAAAGAAAGAAGGGGAAAAUAAUGUAGCUAGAGAGAAUUACCAAAAUAAUGGCAGAAAUGGAGGAAGAUUUGGGUUUAGAGAGGAAGCUGGGAAUUCCAAUCUUUAGAUGGAUAUGGAUGGAGGGAUAAGAGAAGACAUGAAGAUCUCCACAGGGGGUAAAGAAAAUCUUGUUGAUAAGAUGGAGUAAGAGCAGUCGACCAAAGACCUCAAAGGUAAAGAGACUGCUAUGGCCCCUACCCCCCCUAUGAAUCUGAUCCAACAACAACAAUGGUUUGGGGCGUUCUUAGCUCAGAUGGCCCAACAAAGAUUGGAAAGCUCGUCUGGAAGUGGUGUGGCUGCUCUCCCAGGGAGCAGCAGAAACAGUGACUUGGAUAAGAAGGAAGGAGAUUAUGGGGAAGGGAAAGACUUCACCUGGAGGGGAGAUUCUGAUGCGGGAAUGGGUAAUAAAAUUGGGCAAAUUGGAUGGGGUCAAAAUACUAGAACUGGACAGAGAGAACACGUUGAGCAGAAUAAGACUGGGGGAAACUUCAGGGUGAUGUGCAACAAAUGCAAGGAUACUAGACAUCUGACAAGAGAUUGCAAGCUGCCCCACUGCAUCAUUUGUGGCAAAAACUCACACAUUUCUGAGGAAUGUACAUGGCUGAAACAGAUUAAGCCGACCCCAAAGUUUGUAGGAUAUGCUGCUAGAGGGCUUGGAGUGUUGUUGGUUCAGAAUUCAAAACAGGUGGUGAGCAGUGAGCAGACAAACCAUAGUGAACAUUGCUUCUGGAGAGAUCAAUGAAACCCAAUUCCAGGAAGGAUUCAAUUGUAUGUUUAGCUAGAAUUGGUAGUGGAGGUGCAAAUAACAUGGGGAUAAAAGCCCAUCUGAUGAGAUUCCCCAGCAAAAGCAGGCUGGUUGAAUUGCAUAAAUUUGGAGACUUCAACUUGCUGGGGACUAAAGCUAUAAUUAAUGUGGACAGCUGGACUUAUGAUACUCAAGCUAUUGGCAAAUUACACAUAGUAUGGGUUCAGUUUGGGAAAGUGGCUGAGUGUUUCAGACACUUCUUUGGAAUGUGUGAGGUAGUUGCUACUGUGGGACCUGUCCUGGAAAUUGACAUGAACACUAUUUUAAAAGAAAAAGUCAGAGCUAAGGUGGGAGUCAGGGAUAAUGAAAAAGUCCCCAUACACACCGAAGUGACUGACAAGGAUCUGAUGAUAUAUAGGGUGACCAUGGAGCUAGAGGAAGUAGUAGAGCAGGGAUGGUAUGAAGAGAAAAGAAAAUUUGGAAAUCUGGAAGUUGGACUGAACCCAGAAGAUGAUGGGGGACAGAAAAAAAUCAAAAUUGGAGACAUGGAAACAGAAGGGAACAAAGAGAACAUUUCUCUGGGCAGUGUGGGGCCUAAGCAAUUUGUGGAAUUGAAGCAAAAAAAUGAAGAGAUCUUGAGUAUACAGAGAGAAUGUCUCAUGAAAGUAGGUCUGAGGAAAAAUGUGGAGGCUGAACUUGAAAAAGCUCUGAUAAAAUUCAAAGAUGUGGAGGAAGGCAGAUACAGACAUGAGGCUUGGAGGACAAUGGAAGAAAAUAAAACAACUGCUUGGGAAAUAGAAAGGAAAAAGCUGGUGGAGAUGAUUUAAGGCCAACAAGAACUAAUCAACAAGUGCAUGAAAAAAUUGACACCUGGGAAUAAAAACAAAUAUCUAGGGAUGAGCUAGGAGAGAAAAAUGAAUUUGACCCGGAGAUUCCCCAAGACCCCACACUGGAAGAUGCAUACACAGAACAAGUGGAUUACUUAGCAAGUCAAGACUCUGUUGAAUCUCUGGGCACCAAACUGGGAAUACACAAGAAAGAGGAUGGGGAGAAAGACAAGGACAAGGAUGGCCCUACUAGAAGGAGUGAUAGAAACCUGGAUAAGAAGGAUGUCAAAAUUAAAGACUUGGCCAAGGAAAGGGCAGCUGAAAAAGAUAACUAUGGUGAGAACACUAACUCUUUUAAUGAUAAAAUUUCUUUAUUUGAAAUGGCUAGCAAAGUGGGGAUUGAUGAGAGAUGGCUCCCACCUCCCACCUCCCUCUCCUCUCCUCUCCUACCUGCUCCACCAAAAUUGAUGGUGAUCUCUAAACUGAUUCAAGAUGGAAGGCCUUUUGCAUUGGGAUUUUGCCCCUGGCUUAGCCCUUGCAGAUUAGGUGAGGCAAAAAUUUGGUUCCACGGUGCAUUUUUCUCCCUCCCGAGGCGACAAGGAAUUCUUCCUAGUAGUCUCCUUCUCUUCGGCCUCCUUUCCUCUCCAUGAAGAAUCUGUUGGAAUUGCUCUUCAAUGUUGUAUUGGGGGCAUUAGUUCUGGUUUUAGAGUGCACAAGAUCAAGCCUUCAUUUCUCGGUUGCCAAUAAUAAAGUGGGACAUUUUAUCUACGGUCUUAAAGAUCGUAUUUGGCCGGACUUUAUUUGUCAUUUUCAUCUAUUCAAUGGAGGUUUUGCCUGGGUCCCCACGUCUAAUUGUACUUGGCACGCUGAUGAAGAACUAUCAAAAAUUUCAGCUAGACACCCAAUGGCUAUCAAAUCAGAUUUGGGGUUUCUGAGAACUCGUUCUACUGAGACAGCUUCCUCUCAUGAGUUAUGCAAAUUCUCUUUGGUUCCUCUUGAUGAUAUGGUUUUCUCCAACAAAAAUGCUCAGGAAGCUUCUUCAUCCUCUUCCAUUCCGAAGAACACUCGUGGUAUUCAAAUUCAACUUGGAUCAUUUUUGGCAACAAAGGAUGAGGAGCCGAUAAUUCUGGAUCCUAGGAUUUCAUUAAUGAAGAAAUUGUUGGAAAUAUGCCCUAGAGGCAAUAAUAAAAGUAUUAUUAUUAUAUUUCCUUGUUCAUGAUAAUUGUCUUUUAUUCAUGCUAUAACUGUAUUAUCCGGAAAUCGUAAUACACGUGUGAAUACAUAGACCACAAUAUGUCCCUAGUGAGCCUCUAGUUGACUAGCUCGUUGUGAUCAACAGAUAGUCAUGGUUUCCUGGCUAUGGACAUUGGAUGUCGUUGAUAACGGGAUCACAUCAUUAGGAGAAUGAUGUGAUGGACAAGACCCAAUCCUAAGACUAGCACAAAAGAUCGUGUAGUUCAUUUGCUAGAGCUUUGCCAAUGUCAAGUAUCUUUUCCUUAGACCAUGAGAUUGUGCAACUCCCGGAUACCGUAGGAAUGCUUUGGGUGUACCAAACGUCACAACGUAACUGGGUGGCUAUAAAGGUGCAUCACAGGUAUCUCCGAAAGUGUCUGUUGGGUUGGCACGAAUCGAGACUGGGAUUUGUCACUUCGUGUAAACGGAGAGGUAUCUCUGGGCCCACUCGGUAGGACAUCAUCAUAUGCGCAAUGUGACCAAGGAGUUGAUCACGGGAUGAUGUGUUACGGAACGAGUAAAAGUGACUUGCCGGUAACGAGAUUGAACAAGGUAUUGGAUACCGACGAUCGAAUCUCGGGCAAGUAAAAUACCGCUAGACAAAGGGAAUAGUAUACGGGAUUGAUUAAGUCCUUGACAUCGUGGUUCAUCCGAUGAGAUCAUCGUGGAACAUGUGGGAGCCAACAUGGGUAUCCAGAUCCCGCUGUUGGUUAUUGACCGGAGAACGUCUCGGUCAUGUCUACAUGUCUCCCGAACCCGUAGGGUCUACACACUUAAGGUUCGAUGACGCUAGGGUUAUAAAGGAAGCUUGUAUGUGGUUACCGAAUGUUGUUCGGAGUCCCAGAUGAGAUCCCGGACGUCACGAGGAGUUCCGGAAUGGUCCGGAGGUAAAGAUUUAUAUAUAGGAAGUCCUGUUUCGGCCAUCGGGACAAGUUUCGGGGUCAUCGGUAUUGUACCGGGACCACCGGAAGGGUCCCGGGGGCCCACCGGGUGGGGCCACCUGCCCCGGGGGGCCACAUGGGCUGUAGGGGGUGCGCCUUGGCCUACAUGGGCCAAGGGCACCAGCCCCAAGAGGCCCAUGCGCAAGGAAACUUGGAGAGGGAAGAGUCCUAAAGGGGGAAGGCACCUCCGAGGUGCCUUGGGGAGGAUGGACUCCUCCCCAUCCUUAGCCGCACCCCUUCCUUGGAGGAGGGGGCAAGGCUGCGCCCUCCCCUCUCCCUUGGCCCUAUAUAUAGUGGGGAAAAGGAGGAGCAAUCAGACCUAAGGCCUUUGGUUGCCUCCCUCUCCCUCCCGUGACACAUCUCCUCUCCCGUAGGUGCUCGGCGAAGCCCUGCAGGAUUGCCACGCUCCUCCAUCACCACCAUGCCGUUGUGCUGCUGCUGGAUGGAGUCUUCCUCAACCUCUCCCUCUCUCCUUGCUGGAUCAAGGCGUGGGAGACAUCGUCGAGCUGUACGUGUGUUGAACGCGGAGGUGCCGUCCGUUCGGCACUAGGAUCAUCGGUGAUCUGAAUCACGACGAGUACGACUCCAUCAACCCCGUUCACUUGAACGCUUCCGCUUAGCGAUCUACAAGGGUAUGUAGAUGCACUCCUUUCUACUCGUUGCUGGUCUCUCCAUAGAUAGAUCUUGGUGUUACGUAGGAAAUUUUUUGAAUUUCUGCUACGUUCCCCAACAGAAAUAUCUUCGUUCAGUGGAAUUGGAGGAAGAGCACAAUCCGGCGUGUCUCCGUUUGGGUGCAUUUAAUUGCCCCAUUGAUGUUUCUUAUCAUGUCCCACCGCAGUGUUUCCUUAAUUCGGCGUUCAAAUAUGCCCCAGCCCUUUCUUUUUGGCCCCCUAGACUAUCGGCCCAGCAUAAGGCUGAUUUGGCCCAGGCAUCCUACACUGAGGAGGAGAUUACUACUCUCACUAAUAAUUGGGCGGUCUUGUGUGCUCGCUGCUUACAAUGGGGUCAUCCAAAGAUUCACUACCCGGCUAGGCUGAUUUGCAUUAAGUGCUCUGCACCUGACCACGAGGUAACUAAUUGCCCGGCUCGGAUUACUCAGCAACAUAUUGGACUAGUUGAUGUCGUUAGGCCUCAUAGUAUCAAUCCUCCCAGCUUUCCCGUUGCCCCGGAUUCUAAUAUGCAUAAACGCAACUGGAAAUCGACCGUCCGAUGCGAGGCUUGCAGCCACUAUGGACACUUGGCACAAUCUUGUCGUUGGAGGCGGUGGCGUGCACGUUGGUAGUGGAUCCCCAAAAAUCCCCAACCUACCAAAAAUGCCCCUCACAUUUCCGCUUCUACUCGGUUUCCUCAAACGACACCGCCCUGCCCCAGCCAUUCGUCCCCGCUUCCACCCCCGUCACCUUAGCCGCUCUCCAUCCGCACCACCACCAUGGCAAACUACACUCUCAACUCGGUGCCUUUCCUGCCCCCGGGAUUCGCCGUCGAACAAGGACCGGUGGAUCGUGUCGUCCGUAGUGGCAUGGUCGUCGGGCCACUCCCGCUGCUCAACCACGACUAUCUGGCCAUUGCGGAGUCCAGUCAUUACGUACCUCUGCAUCGCCAUGCCAUCAUCCAUCAUGCCAUCAGAGGUUUGCUUCACGAGGCCCAGCUUUUCACUACUGAAGUUAGCGAUCAUCCAUUUGGAAUCGGGAUUUUUGGCUUUGCGGAUUCAUUCCUCAGAGAUACUGCGGUAGCCACGCCAUUAGAACUCGAGGACGAAGAUCUGCUCAUCACAUUUGUUCCUCAUAAUGAAGCGCUUAACCGUCAUACCACCUCUUUUGGUCCUGAGAUCUGGUUGAUGUAUUUUGGAUUUCCGUAUGAUUACCAGACAGAUUAUUACAUCAAUAAGUCUCUUGGUGGUUUUGGUGCCAUUGUGUCUUGGUAUAAUCCCCACCAAGAUCGACGUUUCAUGCUGAUCAAAGCCAGAGUUCUGAGAUUGAACCUUGUGCCAAAGAGAUUUGUGGUAUGGCAGCUAGGUGGAGCACGUGAUUGUUGGACAGUGCAGAUCACAAUACUCCGAAGCAAUGACUGGAAUGGUCAAACAACAAAAGCCGUGUACUAACUCUGAGCAGCCACCAAUUUAUGGUGUAGGGGGUGGGCUAUUUAUAGCCACUGGGCAACCCGACCUGAUUUGUCUGAAAUGACCCUGGGUCACUAAGGAACUUACACGUGUCACAACGGUCAGAUUUCAAACACACACGGCAACUUGACUUGGGCUACAAGUAAAGCUGACUCACCUGACUCUGGAUAAGAUUUGCUCUCAUUGUCUUCGCUCGAAGACAUAGGAUUUGGUUGAGCAUCACUUCAGUCACUCUGAUUUUGUUCACUUGGACCUCACUUAACAGUGCGGUGGUUCCUAUGACUCAACAAAGAAGAAAAAGAAACAACAAAACAACUAAGUCUUCGCGCUCCAUAGUCUUCACUCGAUGUCUUCUCAUGUCAUAGUCUUCAACAUGAAUAGCUUCACAGACCACCAUUGUCUUCAAUGUCUUCACACAUUUUUAGGGGUCAUCUCCGGUAGGUAAACCGAAUCAAUGAGGGACUACUACCUGUGUUAUCCUGCAAUUCUCACAAACACAUUAGUCCCUCAACCAGGUUUGUCGUCAAUACUCCAAAACCAACUAGGGGUGGCACUAGAUGCAAUUACAUAUCACUAUCUCUUCGUUGAACUAGUGCACCUAUAUAAUUUACCAUUGUAUUGGGUGUGUUGGGGACAAAACAGAUUUCUUGUAUUUGAUUGCAGGGUUAUUCGAGAGAGACAAUCUUCAUCCUACACCUCCCAUAGAUUGAUAAAAAUUAGGUCAUCCACUUAAGGGAAUAUUGCUGCUGUCCUACAAAACUCUGUGCUUAGAGGGCCAACAGAGUCUACAAGAAGAAAGUUGCAUAGUAGACAUCACUUACCAGCAUAGGACGUGGUAGGUGCAUCCCCGGUGUCAACGUGUUCAUCAUCCCACCAUUUGUCCGUGCAUAUGUUUGUUUGUUUUUAGUCCAACCUCUUCAGCUCCACACGUCAAUUUUUAGUGGCCUGCACAUGACACAUAUGUUUCUUACACAUUUUUUUUCCAAAUCUAGUAGUAUACACAUGGUCAAGGUAGUUGAUUACACGUGGAAAGUCUAUUGGAUUUACACAUUUAUUUUCCAAUUUGACAACUUCUUUUUUGUGUCACUUACUUGCAUAAGUUGUCAUAGGUUUGUUCCCCGUUGUCAGCAUGUACAUCAUUCCAGUUUUUCGACCUACAUUUUUUGUUUGACUGUUUUCAAUCCAUUUUUGUAUCUCCUGCUCAUUUGCAGAAAUAUUAGAUCACAUACGGCAAAUCUAGUGGAACACACGUGGCAAAUCUAUUGCACCACACAUGGUAAAUCUAGUGAACUACGCAUGGCAAGUCUAGUGCAUCACACAUGGCAAAUAUAGCUGAGUCCACAUGGAAAAUAUAUUGGGUUACACAUGGUAAAGUUGUUGGAUUACACACAGCAAACAUGCUGGAUUGCACAUUCCAAAUCUAGCAUCUUCCACAUGGCCAACCCACUUUGUCUGACCGGAAUUGGGUUGUUACCAUGUGGUUUUCUACGACAAAUACUAGAUACAUAUUUUUUAUUUCUUAUAUGAUUGCAUGGCAAAUUGUAAACAAACCACAUGGCAACAACUGACCACACUACAUGUCAACUAUAACCUUUUCAUCUCUUUAAGUACGAUACUUCUUUUCUUUGUUCAAUUUUACAUGGCAAAUAUGAGUUUGAUUUCACUACAUUUUGACAACACUUACAUCAUAUACUUGCAUACUCCCCCACAAAAUUUGCCAUUUUUUACUUGUGCGUACGAGCAGAUUUUUUGGGUCUUACCGGCAUAAGAGGUUGAUGACAGGUCUCCCAUCGUCAGCUAAUGUCGUGCGCUCCCCAUACCCCACCCCACAUGCAUUUUAAAACUAUAAGUUUGUUAGGUCAUUAUUUAUGUUUUUUCCCGUGUUGCUUGGUAUUGUUAUUUCACUCUUCUCUUCACCAUCCCAUAUUUUUUUUCGUACGCUUUGUUUUUUGACAUACCUAGAUUUGCUCCUGUUACUUGAAGUUGGUGUCCCGAAUAUUGAGUAUCCGUAGAUCCUUCUGGUGUAGCUUGCCACGUCACUCAUAAUAGUGUAGUUGUAUUGAAAGCCCGUGCAAACAUAUCUUUUUGUUAUACAUGUUUAGAAGCCAGCAAUCAUACACUAUUGGCACAUGUUUUAUGGGGUUUUAGACGCUAAAAAUUACUGGCAACUCUCGCUCAAAACAUUAAAUUUUUUCCAUGUUAUUAUUACAAACAUGGCAAACCUCAUUUUUCAUUAUAGUUCUUACCCAUGUCUGAAUAUUGUUGUAGUAGUGGCAACAAUGGCCAGCUAAAAUGAGUUCCUCAUAGUCUAGCGCAUCCCAUGCGGGUGCUCGUGCCGGUCUGAAUAACCAAGGAUUAGACCCGUCUCCAGGAUCCAUUCGCCUUCACUCGUAUUUUUCUGUUUUACCAUGUAGAGUGACAUGGCAACUUUAGUGCCAACUGGGAUAGCAAGUAUCACUAGCAUGCCAUGGCAACUAAAAGCAACAUCUUAUGGGCAUUGUCAGCAACUAACUGCAACCGUACAUGGCAAAUGGCCUACAACUAGGGUUGCAAGUACUAUUACAUUGACACGGCACAUUACCUGUAGCGUGGGUGGCAAGUAUCACUGGAAUUACUUGGCAAAAUAAAAGAGGCACAAGAUGGCCAUUUCCCCUUGGCUACUAAGGUGGCAACUACUUCCUAGAUUGCACGACUACUAACUGCGAAAAUACUUGGCAAUUUUCCCAACUUUCCAACUAGUGUUGGAUUGUAUGUCAUGUUUUCCCUCCCCUGCUGAAUGCUCUAUUUUCUGAUAUGUCCUCCUGCUCUAACUAACAUGGAAGAAACCAAAAUGUAGUGGCAACUGUUUGGGUGUGGCUUCACCAAGUUCCAAACAUGGCAUACACCAAAAAAUCUCAAAGAAAAAAGUGAAUGCACAUGGCAAUUCCUUCUUAGGGGACAUAUCUAGCUAUUUGCUGCCUCCGGAUUUAUGGUUUGAAACUAAACAAACAAAUUUCCUGGCAAGAAUUAGAAAGAGGGGGAGGGGUGUCGGUGUCAAAACCGGUGGAUCUCGGGUAGGGGGUCCCGAUCUAUGCGUCUUAGGCUGAUGGUAACAGGAAGCAAGGGACACAAUGUUUACCCAGGUUCGGGCCCUCUCGAUGGAGGUAAAACCCUACUUCCUGCUUGAUUAAUAUUGACGAUAUGAGUAGUACAAGAGUAGAUCUACCACGAGAUCGUAGAGGCUAAACCCUAGAAGCUAGCCUAUGAUGAUUAUGAUUGUAGUUGUGAUCGGCCUUCUAAGGACCAACCUCUCCGGUUUAUAUAGACAUUGGAGAGGGCUAGGGUUUACAUGGAGUCGGUUACAAGGAAGGAAAUAUAAUAUCCGGAUCGCCAAGCUUGUCUUCCACGCAAAGGAGAAUCCCAUCCGGACACGGGACGGAGUCUUGAGUCUUGUAUCUUCACGCUCCAAUAGUCCGGAUGAUGUGUAUAGUCCGGCUGUCCGGAUACCCCCUAAUCCAGGACUCCCUCAGUAGCCCCUGAACCAGGCUUCAAUGACGAUGAGUCCGGCGCACAGUCUUGUCUUCGGCAUUGCAAGGCGGGUUCCUUCUCCGAAUACUCCAAGGUAAUCAUCAAACACGUAAACCAUGUCCGGAUCUGUAAAAUGAUCUUCACACACCAUCGUAGAGAGAAUGAUAUUUCAGCUGACAACUUUUUAGAAGACGUGAUAUGUCAUUAUGGUCGGGUCUUUAUUCAAACCAUUUUCCCACAACCAGCCACAGCGCAUAUUGCGAGGCGGUUUCCUUGACACGUCUUGUCAAAGCAGAGAUCGUGUCCCCUUAUCACGGGAUUCUCAUCAAUACGGGUAUGGGUAAUCCCAUCAUGCCAUCAAUCGUGUUGUUUGGGAAGCAAGCGAUUCUCAACGGGCAAGUGGGGAGGCGCACCGCUUUUGUCGCCUCUAUAAAGGGAUAAGAGUUCCCCAUUUUUACCCACGCCUUCUUCCUCCUUUGCCUACCCUUGCCCCUUCAAGCUCCAGCGCCCUAGUCCAAGUCUUCUCCGCAUAGCUAAACAUGUCCGGAGCAGGAGGCAAGUGGGUGGCCUCCAUCAUGAAAGAGAAGCAUAUUGCGAAUCUUCGGGCGGCUAGAUACUUGGCCGCAGACAUCGCGCACCGUCUACCGGACAAAGGGCAGGCCAUUCCAACACCGGAACCUCAUGAGAGGGUCGUGUUCGUCGCCCACUUCGUCCGUGGACUGGGAUUUCCACUCAUCCCUUCGUCCGCGGGCUCAUGUUCUACUACGGGCUAGAUUUCCAUGAUCUAGCCCCAAAUUUCGUCCUCAACAUCUCGGCGUUCAUCGUCGUAUGCGAGGCCUUCCUCCGGAUCAAGCCUCACUUCGGCCUGUGGCUGCAAAUCUUCUGCGUGAAGCCAAAGAUCGUGAGCGGCCAGCAAGUGGAGUGCGGAGGGGGCAUGGUGGGCAAGAUGCCUAACGUCACCUGGCUUGACGGCUCCUUUGCGGAGACCAUGAAAGGAUGGCAAUCGGGGUGGUUCUACAUCACCGAUCCGCGCGGUGCCAACUGGGCAGCGGCCCCCGAGUUCUAAUCCGGAACCCCCAUGUGGCUCACCUCCUGGGAAAAGAAGGGCCUGGCCUGGGGCGAACCUACACAGCUGACCGGACUCCAAAACUGCAUCAAGAGCAUGAAGGAAAAGAACAUCAAGCUUGUCAACGUGAUCCAGGUCAUGCUCGUUCGCCGGAUUCUGCCAUGCCAAAGGCGGGCAUUUAAUCUGUGGGAGUUCAUCCCGGCCGAACACCAGACGCUUCGGAGGCUCUACGGCAUGACGCAUAAAGAAGCAUGGAAGGCGCUGUUCAAGGCCUCGGAAGUACCACCUCCCACAUCUGAGGACCGUGGACUUCACACCGCGCGGCCUCCUCGUCCGGUGAGUUUUCUGACUACCACCGGAUUCAGCUCUUCCCAAUAUAUUCGUGGGGGAGUCUUAAGUAAUUGUGCAUAUUUAAUCAGGAUUAUGUGGAGACAGCGGAGCAGAUUGACUGUGUGGCUCCGCUACCAGAAGGCCCAGCUGAUGCUCUCCUGACGGAGAUGCUAGUCCCGCACCCUACAAGGCACCGGAGAAGAAGGCCGAAAAGAAGGCCCCGGGGACCAGGAAGGGUCUCCGGCGUAAGGUUGUACCAGAAGCCUCGUCCGAAGACGAUGAGGCACACUCCUCCCCCGAAGGGGAGGAAGAAGAAGAAGGGGCCACCCCAUCCGGAGAGGAUGAGGGGCCUGAGAAGGCAGACCAGGGGGCCGGGAAAGGCCCCCGGCGCAAGGCCGUCAUACCCUCGUCGUCCGACGAUGACGAGGCAGAUUCCUCCCGCGGAGGCGGGGGGAAGCAAGAAGAAACUCUACCUCCCCGCACUGGGGAGGAGAAAAAGAGGAAAGCCGCCCAGGAGGAGGGGGUUGGGAUAUCCAAGAAGGGAAAGAUGUCCCUUCCGGACUACUCCACCAUGACCGCUCAUAGCGAGGAGGGGUGGCUGCCCAGGGGGAAGCCCCUAGCGUGAUCGUAAGUAUCCGCACUCUAUCGUGAUUUUACUUCAUAGUAUUUUUAUGACGCCGAACCUAUAUGUAGUCCGGCCAGGGUUCAUCCCGAGGUAUCAUCUUCGAAUGGGUCCCUGAGCGAUUCAGCGAUGAACUCGCUCCCGACGGCCACUACUCCUCAGCCCGCGGAUGACACGGAGGUGCUGUCCCAAAGGCUCCUAGAGCGGAGGGAGGUGACUUUGGAGACGCCCCAAGGCGGAAUUCCAGAUGUUGGACACGCGGGGUUCAAGAUCCCCGUGGAUCGUGUCGAUGAGAGCCGCAGUAAGCCGGGCUCUCAGCCGGACACUGCUCCGGAACCUUCAAUGGUUCCGGACUCAGGCGGGCAGCCCCUCAUUAGGAAGGGCGAGCCGUCCGUGCCGAGGACUUCUGCUACCUCUUGAGCACUGCGUUGAAUUUCCCCGAAGAUGAAGGAUGAUGCAGCAAAGUAGCGUAAGUAUUUCCCUUAGUUUUUGAGAACCAAGGUAUCAAUCCAGUAGGAGACCAUGCACAAGUCCCUCGUACCUGCACAAAAUGAUAGCUACUCGCAACCAACGCGAUUAGGGGUUGUCAAUCCCUUCACGGUCACUUACGAGGGUGAGAUCUGAUAGAGAUGAUAAAUAAUAUUUUUGGUAUUUUUGAUAGAUAGAUGCAAAGUGAAAAGUAAAAGGCAAAGUAAAAACAAAGCAAGUAAUAAAGCGAUAGAGAUUGAUAUGAUGAGAAUAGACCCAGGGGCCAUAGGUUUCACUAGUGGCUUCUCUCAAGAGCAUAGAUAUUCUACGAUGGGUGAACAAAUUACUGUUGAGCAAUUAACAGAAUUGAGCAUAGUUAUGAGUAUAUCUAGGUAAUGAUCAUGUAUAUAGGCAUCACGUCUAAGACAAGUAGAUUGAAACGAUUCUGCAUCUACUACUAUUACUUCAGUCAUCGACCGCUAUCCAGCAUGCAUCUAGAGUAUUAAGUUAAAAACAGAGUAACGCCUUAAGCAAGAUGACAUGAUGUAGAGGGAUAAAUUCAUGCAAUAUGAUAAAAAAACCAUAUUAUUAUCCUCGAUGGCAACAAUACAAUACGUGCCUUGCUGCCCCUGCUGUCACUGGGAAAGGACACCACAAGAUUGAACCCAAAGCUAAGCACUUCUCCAUUGCAAGAACUACCAAUCUAGUUGGCCAAACCAAAAAGGAUAAUUCGAAGAGACUUGCAAAGAUAACUCAAUCAUAGAUAAAAGAAUUCAGAGGAGAUUCGAAUAUUUUCCAUAGAUAAACUGGAUCAUAAACACACAAUUCAUCGGUCUCAACAAACACACCGCAAAAAGAAGAUUACAUCGAAUAGAUCUCCACGAGAGAGAGGGAGAACAUUGUAUUGAGAUCCAAAAAGAGAGAAGAAGCCAUCUAGCUACUAGCUAUGGACCCGAAGGUCUGAAGUAAACUACUCGCACUUCAUCGGAGGGGCUAUGGUGUUGAUGUAGAAGCCCUCCGUGGUGGAUGCCCCCUCCAGCGGAGCUCCGGAACAGGCCCCAAGAUGGGAUCUCGUGGAUAUAGAAGGUUGCGGCGGUGGAAUUAGGUUUUUGGCUCCUUGUUCUGAUCGUUUGGGGAUACGUAGGUAUAUAUAGGAGGAAGGAGUACGUCGGUGGAGCAACAGGGGGCCCACGAGGUAGGGGGCGCGCCCAAGGGGGCGCCUCCCACCCUCGUGACCGCCUCUUUUGUUCCUUGGAGCAAGGUCCAAGUCUCCUGGAUCACGUUCGGUGAUAAAAUCACGUUCCCGAAGGUUUUAUUCCGUUUGGACUCCGUUUGAUAUUUUGUUUCUUCGAAACACUGAAAUAGGCAAAAAACUGCAAUUCUGGGCUGGGCCUCCAGUUAAUAGGUUAGUCCCAAAAAUAAUAUAAAUGUGUAAAAUAAAGCCCAAUAUAGUCCAAAACAGUAGAUAAAGUAGCAUGGGGCAAUCAAAAAUUAUAGAUACGUUGGAGACGUAUCAGGCAUCCCCAAGCUUAAUUCCUGCUCGUCCUCGAGUAGGUAAAUGAUAAAAAAGAAUUUUUGAUGCGGAGUGAUACUUUGGCAUAAUUUCAAUGUAAAUCUUCUUAAUUGUGAUAUGAAUAUUCAGAUCCGAAAGAUUCAAGACAAAAGUUCAUAUUGACAUAAAAAAUAUUAAUACUUCAAGCAUACUAAUCAAAGCAAUCAUGUCUUCUCAAAAUAACAUGGCCAAAGAAAGUUAUCCCUACAAAAUCAUAUAGUCUGGCUAUGCUCCAUCUUCCCCACACAAAAUAUUUAAAUUAUGCACAACCCCGAUGACAAGCCAAGCAAUUGUUUCAUACUUAUGACAUUCUCAAAACUUUUUCAAUCUUCACGAAUACAUGAGCGUGAGCCAUGGAUAUAGCACUAUGUGGAAUAGAAUGGUGGUUGUGGAGAAGACAAAAAGAGGGAAGAUAGUCUCACAUCAACUAGACGUAUAAACGGGCUAUGGAGAUGCCCAUCAAUAGAUAUCAAUGUGAGUGAGUAGGGAUUGCCAUGCAACGGAUGCACUAGAGCUAUAAGUAUAUGAAAGCUCUACAAAAGAAACUAAGUGGGUGUGCAUCCAACUCGCUUGCUCGGGAAGACCUAGGGCGUUUUGAGGAAGCCCAUCAUUGGAAUAUACAAGCCAAGUUCUAUAAUGAAAAAAUCCCACUAGUAUAUGAAAGUGACAAAAUGAGAGACUCUCUAUCAUGAAGAUCUUGGUGCUACUUUGAAGCACAAGUGUGGUAAAAGGAUAGUAGUAUUGUCCCUUCUCUCUUUUUCUCUCUUUUUUUUAUUUGGGCCUUUCUAUUUUUUUGGCCUCUUUUUUUCGUCCGGAGUCUCAUCCCGACUUAUGGGGGAAUCAUAGUCUCCAUCAUCCUUUCCUCACUUGGGACAAUGCUCUAAAAAAUGAUGAUCAUCACACUUUUAUUUUCUUACAACUCAACAAUUACAACUCGAUACUUAGAACAAAGUAUGACUCUAUAUGAAUGCCUCCGGCGGUGUACCGGGAUAUGCAAUGAAUCAUGAGUGACAUGUAUGAAAGAAUUAUGAACGGUGGCUUUGCCACAAAUACGAUGUCAACUACAUGAUCAUGGUAGCAAUAUGAUAAUGAUGGAGCGUGUCAUAAUAAACGGAACGGUGGAAAGUUGCAUGGCAAUAUAUCUCGGAAUGGCUAUGGAAAUGCCAUGAUAGGUAGGUAUGGUGGCUGUUUUGAGGAAGGUAUAUGGUGGGUGUAUGAUACCGGCGAAAAGUGUGCGGUAUUAAAGAGGCUAGCAAAGGUGGAAGGAUGGGAAAAAGUGCGUAUAAUCCAUGGACUCAACAUUAGUCAUAAAGAACUCAUAUACUUAUUGCAAAAAUCUAGAAGUUAUCAAAGCAACGUAUUACGUGCAUGCUCCUAGGGGGAUAGAUUGGUAGGAAAAGACCAUCGCUCGUCCCCGAUCGCCACUCAUAAGGAAGACAAUCAAUAAAUAAAUCAUGCUCCGAGUUCAUCACAUAACGGUUCACCAUACGUGCAUGCUACGGGAAUCACAGACUUCAACACAAGUAUUCUUUGAAUUCACAACUACUUAACUAGCAUGACUCUAAUAUCACCAUCUUCAUAUCUCAAAAAAAUUAUCAAGCAUCAAACUUAUCUUAGUAUUCAACGCACUCAAAAGAAAGUUUCACAUAUCUCGAACACCAAGUAUAUUAACAUUAAGCAAAUUACCAUGCUAUUAACGACUCUCAAAAUAAUCUAAGUGAAGCAUGAGAGAUCAAUAGUUUCUUUAAAACAAAUCCACCACCGUGCUCUAAAAGAUAUAAGUGAAGCACUAGAGCAAAAAUUAUCACGCUCAAAAGAUAUAAGUGAAGUACUAUGAGCAAAACUAUCAAGCUCAAAAGAUAUCAGUGAAGCACAUAGAGUAUUCUAACAAAUUCCAAUUCAUGUAUGGCUCUCUCAAAAGGUGUGUACAGCAAGGAUGAUUGUGGUAGACUAACAAGCAAAGAUGCAAAUAAUACAAGACUCUCCAAGCAAAACACAUAUCAUGUGGUGAAUAAAAAUAUAGCUCCAAGUAAAUUACCGAUGGAAGUGGACGAAAGAGGGGAUGACUUCCGGGGCAUCCCCAAGCUUUGACUUUUUGGUGUCCUUGGAUUAUCUUGGGGGUGCCAUGGGCAUCCCCAAGCUUACCCUCUUGCCACUCCUUGUUCCAUAAUCCAUCAAAAGAAUUCACCCAAAACUUGAAAACUUCACAACAAAAAACUCAACAGAAAUCUCGUGAGCUCCGUUAGAGAAAGAAAACAAAGAACUACUUAAGGUACUGUAAUGAACUCAUUCUUUAUUUAUAUUGGUGUUAAACCUACUGUAUUCCAACUUCUCUAUGGAUUAUAAACUAUUUUACUAGCCAUAGAUUCGUCAAAAUAAGCAAACAACACCCGUAAAACAGAAUCUGUCAAAAACAGAACAGUCUGUAGCAAUCUGUAACUAACGCAAACUUCUGGAACUCUAAAAAUUCUACCAAAAUAGUAAGUCCUGGAAAAUUUGUCUAUUGAACAUAAGCAAAAAAGAAUCAACGCAAAAGCACGUUCCUGUGAUUUAACAAAAUUAUAUUCGUGCGCACAAAGUUUCUGUUUUUCAGCAGAAUCAAAUCAACUAUCAUCGUAGGUUAUCCUAUAGGUUCUACUUGGCACAAACACUAAUUAAAACAUAAAACCACAUCCAAACAGAGGCUAGAUGGAUUAUUUAUUCCUAAACAGAAGCAAAAACAAAAAACACAAAUAAAAUUGGGUUGCCUCCCAACAAGCGCUAUCGUUUAACGCCCCUAGCUAGGCAUAAAAGCAAGGAUAGAUCUAGGUAUUGCCAUCUUUGGUAGUCAAUUCUUCGAUGAGGUAUCUACCCCUUUUAGAAUUUUCUUUCUCUCUAGUAAUUAUCAAAUUUUCAGGAAAAAGAUCAAAAAAUUCAUUUAUAGCAAAUGGUUCCUUAAUGAUGGUAAAAAGAUUGGGAUGAACACUUAUAGAUUUAAGAUCCGCAGUUUCCUUACUAGAUGAUUCUCCCUUAUUCUUAGGAACAUAAAUAAGCUUAGUUUUUUUAGUAGAAUAACUUGGAGUGUUUUGAACGGAAGAAAAAACGGUUCCCAAGUUGGUAAUGAUACCUCAAGUUUAUCGAUUCUUGUGGAAUCUAGAUUUAUUUUCUCAUUAACUAUGGGUUCUUUUUCUUUAAUAUUUUUGAAAGUCAUUCCUACCUUAGAUCCAUAUUGGGUAAUUUGAUUGUGGAUCUUUUUAUCAAGAUUUUCAAUUGAUUCAAUGGUAGCAACUUUAUUCUCAAUAGUUUCAAGCCUUUGCAUAACAUGCUCCAAAGUUAACGUAGUUCCAUUAAUCAAAAAGGGUGGUGAGCCAAAUAUAUCUAUUAAAGCAUUAUAAGAAUCAAAAGUAUGGCUACCCAAGAAAUUCCCUCCGGUAAUGGUAUCAAGGAUAUAUCUAUACCAAGGAUUAGCACCUACGUAAAAAUUACGAAGAAGAACUGAAGUAGAUUGCUUCCUGGUAGAUCUAUUUUGAGCAUUGCAAAUUCUAUACCAAGCAUCUUUUAAAUUUUCUCCCUCCCUUUGCUUAAAAUUUAGAACAUCAUUCUCGGGAUAUAGCGGAGAAGAUAUGAGACUAGUCAUGACGACAAGCAAGCAAACUAACACACGAGCAAACAAAAAGGCAACGGGAAAGAGAGGAGGAGAUUGGGAAAGAGAGGGCGAAUAAAACGGCAAGGGUGAAGUGGGGGAGAGGAAAACGAGAGGCAAAUGGCAAAUAAUGUAAUGCGAGAGAUAGGGAUUGUGAUGGGUACUUGGUAUGGUUGACUUGCUUGCGUGAGACUCCCCAGCAACGGCGCCAAAAAUUCUUCUUGCUACCUCUUGAGCACUGCGUUGUAUUUCCUCGAAGAGGAGAGGAUGAUGCAGCAAAGUAGCGUAAGUAUUUCCCUCAGUUUUUGAGAACCAAGGUAUCAAUCCAGUAGGAGACCACACACAAGUCCCUCGUACCUGCACAAAAUGAUAGCUACUCGCAACCAACACGAUUAGGGUUUGUCAAUCCCUUCACGGUGACUUACAAGAGUGAGAUCUGAUAGAGAUGAUAAAUAAUAUUUUUGGUAUUUUUGAUAGAUAGAUGCAAAGUGAAAAGUAAAAGGUAAAGUAAAAACAAAGCAAGUAAUAAAGCGAUAGAGAUUGAUAUGAUGAGAAUAGACCCGGGGGCCAUAGGUUUCACUAGUGGCUUCUCUCAAGAGCAUAGAUAUUCUACGGUGGGUGAACAAAUUACUGUUGAGCAAUUGACAGAAUUGAGCAUAGUUAUGAGUAUAUCUAGGUAAUGAUCAUGUAUAUAGGCAUCACGUCCGAGACAAGUAGAUCAAAAAGAUUCUGCAUCUACUACUAUUACUCCACUCAUCGACCGAUAUCCAGCAUGCAUCUAGAGUAUUAAGUUAAAAACAUAGUAACGCCUUCAGCAAGAUGACAUGAUGUAGAGGGAUAAAUUCAUGCAAUAUGAUAAAAAAAACCAUCUUGUUAUCCUCGAUGGCAACAAUACAAUACGUGCCUUGCUGCCCCUGCUGUCACUGGGAAAGGACACCACAAGAUUGAACCCAAAGCUAAGCACUUCUCCAUUGCAAGAACUACCAAUCUAGUUGGCCAAACCAAAAAGGAUAAUUCGAAGAGACUUGCAAAGAUAACUCAAUCAUAGAUAAAAGAAUUCAGAGCAGAUUCAAAUAUUUUCCAUAGAUAAACUGGAUCAUAAACACACAAUUCAUCGGUCUCAACAAACACACCGCAAAAAUAAGAUUACAUCGAAUAGAUCUCCACGAGAGAGAGGGAGAACAUUGUAUUGAGAUCCAAAAAGAGAGAAGAAGCCAUCUAGCUACUAGCUAUGGACCCGAAGGUCUGAAGUAAACUACUCGCACUUCAUCGGAGGGGCUAUGGUGUUGAUGUAGAAGCCCUCCAUGGUGGAUGCCCCCUCCAGCGGAGCUCCGGAACAGGCCCCAAGAUGGGAUCUCGUGGAUACAGAAGGUUGCGGCGGUGGAAUUAGGUUUUUGGCUCCUUGUUCUGAUCGUUUGGGGAUACGUAGGUAUAUAUAGGAGGAAGGAGUACGUCGGUGGAGCAACAGGGGGCCCACGAGGUAGGGGGCGCGCCCAAGGGGGCGCCUCCCACCCUCGUGACCGCCUCUUUUGUUCCUUGGAGCAGGGUCCAAGUCUCCUGGAUCACGUUCGGUGAGAAAAUCACGCUCCCGAAGGUUUUAUUCCGUUUGGACUCCGUUUGAUAUUCCGUUUUUUCGAAACACUGAAAUAGGCAAAAAACAGGAAUUCUGGGUUGGGCCUCCGGUUAAUAGGUUAGUCCCAAAAAUAAUAUAAAAGUGGAAAAUAAAGCCCAAUAUAGUCCAAAACAGUAGAUAAAGUAGCAUGGAGCAAUCAAAAAUUAUAGAUACGUUGGAGACGUAUCAACUUCCGUCACGCCAAAGGCGUCGGAUAGUCUGGUGGAAGCGCUUCGAGGCGCUUCCAUGGAUGACGAGCACCGUACUCUUAUGAGUGUGGUGAUUCAAAGGGUUCUGUCCGCCAAGAGCGGACUAACUGAAGCCUGCACAAGCCUCCUGACGGGCUUCGAGGUAAGUAGGAAAUAUGUAAAAUUACCACCCAAUAGGUAGUAGCCCCUGAUACUCUGUUCGGUGUUCGGAAGGAAAAGCCAAACAGAGGGUCAAUUAUAAUCCACAGGAGUCUAAUAGUAAGUGUGUAUGUCAAUAAGCAGGCGGUGCUGCUUGCCGCUGCUGUCCGCACAGCCGAGGUCGCCGGACUAAAGCAGGACCUGGAGCAGGCGCAGGGAGAGCUCGACCUCACGAAGAGGCAGCUUGAAGAGAACAAAGGCGAGUAAUUCCCCGCUCUCAUAUAAUGAAGAAUAGGCAAAAUUGGUUAUUCUAACGGUAAAGCAUCAUGACUUUGCAACAGGGGCCACCACCGAAGUGGCGUCUCUGAAGAAAGCAUUAUCCGAGGCUGAGGACAAGGCGGCUCUGGAGCAUAAAGAGCGUGAGAAGCAAGAUGCUAGGGUAGGCGAGGUACAGCAAGAGCUCCAGGAACUCGGUAAAAAGUUCGAGUCCUUGGAGCAUGAUCUUAAGAUGAAAGAGUCCGAGCUUGCGAAGGCCCUUGUGUGUAUGAAAGACGCCAAGGACGAAGCUGAGAAGGCAUAGCAGGAAAUCCAGGCGGCCAAAAAGAUAGCGGCGGGUAAGACAUUCUUUAUGCAAAGCAAACAUGUGGAGGAGGCGUUUCUUUUACUUACCCGAAUUCGGAGCUCUCCAAGGGCAUUCGCAGAUCUGCCACACAGCGUCUCAGAUGUUGCGGAGUUCUACCGUGCCGAGGAGGGGAGCUCUACGGAGAAGCUAUUCUGGUCCGAGUAUGCUGGGGCCGAACACCCAAUGCCUCUGAGUGACCAAUUGAAGCAGUUGGUUGAACUCCACAGUGCGGACGAAGUGGCUAUGAAAGAUUUCAUAGUCUGGAUGUGGCCUGGUGAGCCUCUGCCCACUAGCUACUUCGGCAUGAUCAAGCGGAUGGUGAAUGCCUGUCCGCAGCUUGAAGUCAUCAAGUGAUCCGUUUGCAUUGAGGAUGCCCACCGGGCCUUUGCCCGCGCGAAGGUGCAUUGGGGCAAGUUGGAUGCAGAGAAGCUGGUGAAGGACGGGACGCCGGAGGGCAAGGCGCAUCGCUAUCCCGAGAAAUAUUACGAUGGCGUUAUGAAGGGCGCUCGUCUCGUGGCUGAUGAAUGUACCAAGGACAAGAUCUUUGAAUAAAUGUACCUUUGUCGUAGUUGUAAUUUAAAGACGAAGUUACUUGUGCUAUGUAGCACUUUUUGAUUUAAAAUAUUACCUUCUGUGCGGCUGUUUAUAGAAUUCUGAAAGUAGGCCAGUCGUCGGCUUCCGCCCCCACGUAACUAGUACCGGGGUGUUCCUGAAAAAACCCGGAUACUCAUUAUCCAAAUUUUUGGUCCCUUAAGGAGGUAUCCGACGCAGCGAACAAGGCAAUCGGACUAUGCGGCUUUAUAACUUUCACUUAGCCAUAGAAGUCUAUAAUUUUAAAUUUCGGCGAAGCCCCUAGAACUCGGAGGGCCGAAUUGGGUGCUAUAUACGCCUAAAUUGGAUGAGGCCCAUUCAUCGCCUAAAGCAGAAAAAAUCUUUAAGGAUUUUGAUACCUCUCGAACAGUGACCAGCUCUCGCCGCAUCAUGCCGGUCAGUUUUCGGCUUUCUCUACUGAGGUGCUCGUCCGGAAGAACCGGGACACAAUCGCAGUAGUUCUCCCUGUGCUACCUUAGCCGAUAUAAUGGAACAUAAGGUACCAAAACAAGGGAGCCGGGCAAACCCAGCUAUUGACCCAAGACGUGAUUCGGAGCUGAUGCAUAUAGUGUUAUAAGUUCGGGGUGCCGCACUGAUGAAAGUGUUCGGACUUGCUUUGUCGUAUUAUGGGGCGCCAUAUGAAGCCCCUGGCAAACUAAUCGUACCAAGGUGUACGGAUGCAGUAUUAAAUAAAUAUUUGCAAGAAAAAUGCGCAAAUAGGAAUAAUAAGCUGACGCUAUAUAUCAUUUCCCAUUGAUGAAUAAUACGUUAAGCGUAUGUUUACAAUGGUAGCAUUUAAGCAGAAGUAAAUAGGACCAUUUAACAUGUCCUAUCCAAGGGCAGGCUGCAUGUAGGUAUGUAAAACAGGUAUAACGAUCGUGAACAGAUUCCACCUGGGUAUUUCCUUUUGUGCGCAAAGCCUGUUGCCUCCUUGGUUUUCUCUCCUAUAUAAGUCCGACACUCCAGCUCUUCUGAAGAGGCUGCUCUAAAGCAAUGUCCUGAAAAAUAAAAAGGGAGGGUUAUGAAGGUAUGUAGCGGUUAUGCCGCGCCAUUGACUGAGUCAUUGAUGCGCCUCCGCCUAUGCCCAUGGUAUUUUGAGUGCGUAAUUGUGUACGCAUGGCGCGAAUGCUGCUUUGAUGGGGCUUGAGCGGAGGCUGGACUGCUAGUCGCGCUCUUGGCGUGCCUGAUGAUCCUGUUGCGGGGUGCUCCGGACUCGCUUGACGGUGCUCGAAGUUGUCGUCGCCGGAUUGGUGGUUUGUUGGAGGAGGCCGCAUUGUACUUCCGCCGCGAGGGAUGCAGUAUGCUCUUCUGUACGGAGAGAGCGGUCCAUAUUUCCGUUGACUGUUAUGACCCCAUGUGGUCCUGGCAUCUUGAGCUUUAGGUAUGCAUAGUGCGGUACCGCAUUGAAUCUAGCGAAUGCGGUUCGUCCAAGCAGUGCGUGGUAACCACUACGGAAAGGGACGAUAUCGAAGUUAACUCUUCGUUUCGGAAGUUAUCCGAAGAUCCGAAGACCACUUCCAAUGUUAUAGAGCCCAUGCAACGGGCCUCUACUCCAGGAAUUACACCUUUAAAGGUGGUUUUGGUGGGCUUGAUCCUUGAAGGGUCGAUGCCCAUUUUGCGCACUGUGUCCUGAUAGAGCAGGUUCAGGCUGCUGCCGCCGUCCAUAAGGACUCACGUGAGGUGGAAUCCGUCGAUAAUUGAGUCUAGGACCAAUACGGCUGAGCCGCCGUGAUGGAUGCUAGUAGGGUGAUCCCUACGAUCAAAGGUGAUCGGACAAGCUGACCAUGGGUUGAAUUUGGGGGCGACUGGCUCCAUCGCAUAGACGUCACGUAAUGCUCGCUUCUGUUCCCGCUUGGGAAUGUGAGUGGCGUAGAUCAUGUUGACUGUUUUCACCUGGGGGGGGGGGGAAUUUCUUCUGUCCCCCCGUGUUCGGAUGCCGGGGCUCUUCGUCAUCGUCGUUGUGCAGCCCCUUGUCCUUGUUUUCGGUGUUUAUUUUGCCGGUCUGUUUGAACACCUAGGAGUCUCUGUUUGUGUGGUUGGCUGGCUUGUCUGGGGUGCCAUGAAUUUGGCACGAGCGCUCCAGUACGCGGUCCAGACUGGACGGUCCCUGAUUAUUUCUUUUGAACGGCUUCUUCCGCUGACCGGCUUUGGAUCUGCUGAAUCCGGCGUUGACUGUCGUGUCUUCGGUGUUGUCGCUGUUGUUCUAUCGCUUGUGUCUGUUGCGCUGUGGCUUGCCGUUAUUGUCACGAACAUCUGCAGUGCCAGAAUGUGGUGUGGUGCUGCUGCGAGCCAACCAGCUGCCCUCGCCCGCGCAAAAGCGUGUCAUUAGUGUCGUGAGAGCUGCCAUGGACUUGGGUUUUUCCUAGCCGAGGUGUCGGGCGAGCCACUCGUCAUGGAUAUUAUGCUUAAAAGCUGCCAGGGCUUCGGCGUCCGGACAGUCGACUAUUUGGUUCUUUUUAGUUAGGAACCGAGUCCAGAAUUUCCUGGCUGACUCUCCGGGCUGUUGAGUAAUGUGGCUCAAGUCAUCGGCGUCCGGUGGUCGCACAUAUGUGCCCUAGAAGUUGUCGAGGAAUGUGUCUUACAGGUUUUCCCAACUGCCAAUGGAAUUUGCUGGCAGGUUGUUUAGCCAGUGUCGGGUGGGUCCUUCGAGCUUAAGGGGAAGAUACUUGAUGGCGUGUAGAUCAUCUCCGCGGGCCAUGUGAAUGUGGAGAAGGAAAUCUUAGAUCCAUACCGCGGGGUCUGUUGUGCCAUCGUAUGAUUUGAUGUUUACGGGCUUGAACCCUUUUGGGAAUUCAUGAUCCAUCACUUCGUCAGUGAAGCAUAGGGGGUGCACGGCGCCUCUGUGCCGGGCUAUCUGGCUACACAGUUCAAAUUGGUCUGGGUGGCUGUAUUCGGCCCGGCCGGACUUGUUGAUAAUGUAUCCGGUGUGACGGUCAUUGUCGCGUGCUGGGGCACCCCGUGAUCCGUAAAUCGAUCUUGGCUGUCCUGCUUUGUUUUCCAGUAUGUCUUGCAGGUCCUUCCUAUUGCCCUGGGCCGUAGUGUAUUGGCGUGGGGGUGCGGGCUGGUAUUCAGGCUGAUAUGCCGUUUUAUCCCGGCCACGGGGUGGCCGGUCAGCCGUGUGGCGCUCGAGUCCGUAUUCCUCGGCUGCCAGGACUUCAGUCCAUCUAUCUAUGAGCAGGUCUUGAUCAUCCUAGAGUUGUUGCUGCUGCUUUUUCAGGCUCCUCGCAGUGGCCGUAGACCGACGCUUGAAGCGUUCCUGCUCGACGGGGUCCUUGGGCAUGCCGAACUCAUCGUCGCCGAGGCUAAUCUUGUCUUCGGAGGGGGGCAUGUAGUUAUCCUCCUCCGGAUAUCUGUCAGUCGCCUGUUCAUCUGGGCUGACCUGCCCGUCUUCCUGCUCGGCCUGCUCGAAGGCAGGCUGAUCAGGGUUGUAUUCCUCUUCGGCACCAUCCGGAUUGUUUUGGUCUCCUGGGCCGGUAUUGCUGUGGCGGGGCUUGGAGCGGCGCCGACGACGCCCAUGCUUUGCUUUUUUCCCUAAGGGGUUAUCCUCCGUUGCCUCAUCACCAUUGGUUUCCUUCGGAGUGUCCACCAUAUAUAUAUCGUAAGAGGAGGUGGUUGUCCACCGCCCAGUGAGCGGUGGUUCCUGUUCUUCUCCUGCAUCGUCGUCCAUACCGUCGAUGUCUUUGGAAUCGAAGUCAAGCACAUUGGUUAGAUCAUCGACCGUGGCAAUGAAGUGGGUGGUGGGUGGGCAACGAAUUCCUUCGUCGCCUGCUUCCCACUCGAGCCGGACAUAGUUCGGCCACGAGACUCCUGACAAAGAGAGAGACUUUAACGAGUUCAACACGUCGCCAAAGGGUGAGUGUUGGAAGAUAUCCGCAGCUAUGAACUCCAUUACAGGAGCCCAACCAGAUUCGGCGGGCUCAGGAGAGCGCGGACUCGAACCUACAGCCGGAUACGAGUCCGGGGGUCCGGAGUCACAGGCUUCCUUAGAAGUGAGGCCUAUGUUCGGCUCUACCACCGAUAAGUGUGCGGCCUGCGGGGCGGGGUCCAUCCACCCGUCCUUGGGCCACGCGGUCUGCUCCGGAUUUAGGUCCGGAGCUGCUGCAGGGGUGAUAUCCCGAGCAUUGUCCGACAACAGGUCUAAGCCGUGCUCAUCGUGACUGUCAGGCGCUCCUGGCACAGGCCCGACUCCAUCGAAGAUCAAGUCUCCGCGGAUAUCGUCCGUGUAGUUCAUGUUUCCGAACCUGACCUGGUGGCCAGGGGCAUAGCUGUCGAUCUGCUCCAGAUGGCCAAGCGAAUUGGCCCGUAGUGCGAAGCCGCCGAACACGAAGAUCUGUCCGGGGAGGAAAGUCUCGCCCUGGACCGUGUCGUUGAUGAUUGAAGGCGCCAUCAAGCCUCGCAGCGACGACACAGAGGAACUCUCAAUGAAAGCACCAAUGUCGGUGUCAAAACCGGCAGAUCUCGGGUAGGGGGUCCCGAUCUGUGUGUCUUAGGCUGAUGGUAACAGGAAGCAAGGGACACAAUGUUUACCCAGGUUCGGGCCCUCUCGAUGGAGGUAAAACCCUACUUCCUGCUUGAUUAAUAUUGACGAUAUGAGUAGUACAAGAGUAGAUCUACCACGAGAUCGUAGAGGCUAAACCCUAGAAGCUAGCCUAUGAUGAUUAUGAUUGUAAUUGUGAUCGGCCUUCUAAGGACCAACCUCUCCGGUUUAUAUAGACACCGGAGAGGGCUAGGGUUUACAUGGAGUCGGUUACAAGGAAGGAAAUAUAAUAUCCGGAUCGCCAAGCUUGUCUUCCACGCAAAGGAGAAUCCCAUCCGGACACGGGACAGAGUCUUGAGUCUUGUAUCUUCACGCUCCAAUAGUCCAGACGAUGUGUAUAGUUUGACUGUCCGGAUACCCCCUAAUCCAGGACUCCCUCAAGGGGAUACUGCCCAAUUUAUGGGAUGAACUAACCUCCACUACAAAAAAGACACAUCCGUGACAUUUUGGGCCGAACGAAAAAAUUUUCUGUCAUAUAUAUGACACUUCGAUGACGAUAAUUGUGACAAAACCCGGUAUCAUCAUAGAUGUGGUGGACUCCUACUUCUAUGACAAGAAAUCAUGACAGAAAAUGGGCUUUUCGUCCUGGGUGGGCCGGAGACGCAGCUGCAUGACAUUCUUUGGGCCGUCCAUGACGGAAAAAACCGUGGUAGAAGCGAGGGGGAGGAAAAUUUCAGGGAGUUACCGGUUACGGUGGGAGGUCGGGGGCGGAGCGAUGCGCGUUUCUCUCGUACGUACACGCGUGUGUGCGAUGCAUUGGCUCUAACUGAAGCCGAGCGAGGCGUUGGGCUCUAACUGAACCCGAGCGAUUGCACUGCUGGCUAUGCGUUACUGAACCCGAGCGAUCGAUCGAUGGCUGUUAACUGAACCCGAUGGAGAGAUUCCUUCGCUACUGCUGCUAACUGAAGCCGAUCGAUGCUGCCUCUGGGAUGAACUGUGAGCGUUGCAGGGGGGGAGGUUUGGAUGAACAGUGAGCGGUGGCGUUGCCUCUGGACGAACAGGAACCCGUGGUGUGGAGGGCUGGAUGAACAAUAGACGAUGGAGGGGUGGCCGUGGAGGGGUGGUUGAACAGGACCCCGUGGUGUGGAGGGCUGGAUGAACAGUAGACAGUGGAGGGGUGGCCGUGGAGGGGUGGUUGAAUAGGACCCUGUGGUGUGGAGGGCCGGAUGAAUAGUAGACGGUGGAGGGGUGCCCGUGGAGGGGUGGUUGAACGGUAGCCGGUGGAGUAGCGCGCGGUGGAGGCUGGAUGAACAGGAGCCUGUGGAGGCUGGAGGAGGUCGACGGUAGCCUGUGGAGGCUGGAGGAGGUUGACGGUGGAGAUGAACAGUAUCCCGUGGAGUCCCGUUUUGCGGUACGCCACACCCCUCCCCCUCGUUUCGACCGUAGCGCUCCAACACAAGUCCGUUUCGUUCGUUUUGCGGUACGCCACACCCCUCCCGAUGAACAGGACCCCCGUUUCGACUGUAGGAGGUUCGUUUCGUCCAUUUUGCGGUACGCCACACCCCUCCCGAUCAACAGGACCCCCGUUUCGACCGUAGGAGGUCCGUUUCCUCUGUUUUGCGGUACGCCACACCCCUCUCGAUCAACAGGACCCCUGUUUCGACCGUAGCAGGUCCGUUUCCUCCGUUUUGUGGUACGCCAGGCCUCGUUUCUAUCGCCUGUUCUGUCCAAGCCAGUUGGCUCUCACGCGUUCCAUUGCCUCCCGAUGAACACGACGCAUUCUGUUGCCUCCCCAUGUACACGACGCAUUCCGUUGCCUCCCCAUGAACACGACGCAUUUCGUUGCCUCCCCAUAAACAUGAGCCCUCGCCGUACGUAUGCACGACUAGGCGUUCGAGACCCCGCCCGUAUGUACACAUACAUGGCCGUAUUUUCUUUCUUGCGCCCUGGCCGCUGUACGUACGUGUACAUGCUACAUGCGCGCCUCUACUACAACACGUGCGCGCCUCUACAACGACCAGUAUGUACGUACACGUUCGCGACCAGAAUGACAACGCUACGUAUGCUUCGACCAGGUGGGUCCCGACUGUCAGGCACUUCCUUGCGUGCGAAGAUGUAGCUGGUGGGUCCCAGCAGUCCUUGCAUGCGAAGAUGUAGCUGGUGGGUCCCAGCAGUCAGGGGGGCGAAUCGUUUUUUUUUUGCCCGGACGCACUUCCUUGCGUGCGAAGGUGUAGCUGGUGGGUCCCAGCAGUCAGGGGGAAACGUUUUUUUUGCGAAAUAUGGUGGCCCGUCCGGUGGGUCCCCGCUGUUAGGUGGAGGAAUAAUUAUUUUGCGCGUAAUAAGGAGGCACUUCCUUGUUGCGGUCGUGGACCCAGCUGUCAGCCUCUCCACGUACAGUCCACGUCUGACGGAAGCCGUUCCUUGACCAUGUUGACCACGCCGCGCCGAGAGCAUCAGGGCGGUGGACGAUGGCGAGGCCUAGGAAGGGGACACGGGGAGCCGGGGAAGACGCGGCAGUGGAAGCCCGCGCGGAGAGGAGUACGAGGGUUCACUGGUUCGGCUGCGGUGUGAGGCUGCCGUCGCCGCAGGGCCUGGCCAGCGGUGGGAAUAGUAGGGGGCGAUGAGGCCUCCGCGGCAGCACAUCCGGCCACGGGAAGCAGGAGCAUGCGCCACGACCGGCGCUGCUUUGGGCGGCUGGAGGAAGAAGACCAGAGGUUGAAGAAGCACUACGGCCGUUGGAUGCACAUCGUACGGUCACUGGAGCUAGAAUCAUUUAUAUUGACUAAGUUGACAAAGCCCUUCGUCCCCGUCAACUUAGUAGGCCCACAAGUCAGCCUCCCACCAAGGUGGGUCCCAGCUAGCAGGGGGUAUUCAUUUUUUUGUGCGUAAUAAGGAGGCACUUCCGGUGGGUCCGAGCUGACAGCAGGGGGAACAUUUUUUCGCAAAAUACGGUGGCCCGUUCGGUGGGUCCCAACAGUCAGGGGCAAACGUUUUUUCGCGAAAUACUGGUGGCCCAUCUGGUGGGUCCCUACUGUCAGGUGGAGGAAUAAUUAUUUUCCGCAUAAUAAGGAAGCACUUCCUUGCGGUUCCCGUGGACCCAGCUGUCAGCCUCUUCACGUACAGUAUUCUUCCGAUGGAAUUCGGUCGUUGACCACAUUGACCACGCCGCGCCGAGAGCACCACGGCGGUGGACGACGGCGAGGCCUAGGAAGGGGACGACACGGAGCCGAGGAAGAUGCGGCAGUGGAUGCCCACGCGGAGAGGAGUACGAGGGUUCACUGGUUCGGCUGCGCUGCCGUCGCCGCAGAAUAACAGGGGGUGUGGGUGAGUGGAGUGGAGGGAUGGCCUGGCCAGCGGUGGGAGUAGUAUGGAGGCGGUGAGGCCUCCGCGGCAGCACAGCCGGCCACGGGAGGCAGGAGCAGGCGGCACGACCGGCGCUGCUUUGGGCGGCUGGAGCAAGAAGACCAGAGGUUGAAGAAGCACUACAACCGUUGGAUGGACAUUGUACGGUCACUAGAGCUAGAAUCGUUCAAAUUGACUAAGUUGACAAAGCCCUCCGUCCCCGUCAACUUAGUAGGCCCACAAGUCAGCUUCCCACCAAGGUGAGUCCCAGCUAGCAGGGGGGGUAUUCAUUUUUUUGUGCAUAAUAAAGAGGCACUUCCGGUGGGUCCGAGCUGACAGCGGGGGAACGUUUUUUUCGCGAAAUACAGUGGCCCGUCCGGUGGGUACCAACAGUCAGGGGGGAAACAUUUUUUCGUGAAAUAAGGUGGCCCGUCGGUGGGUCCCUGCUGUCAGGUGGAGGAAUAAUUAUUUUGCGCGUAAUAAGGAGGCACUUCCUUGCGGCUGCCGUCGACCCAGCUGUCAGCCUCUCCACGUAUAGUACUCUUUCGAUGGAAGUCGGUCAUUGACCACGUUGACCACGCCGCGCCGAGAGCACCAGGGCGGUGGACGACGGCGACGCCUAGGAAGGGGACGACGUGGAGCCGGGGAAGACGCAGCAGUGGAAGCCCGCGCGGAGAGGAGUACGAGGGUUCACUGGUUCGGCUGUGGUGUGAGGCUGCCGUCGCCGCAGAAUAACAGGGGGUGUGGGUGAGUGGAGGGAUGGCCCGGCCAGCGGUGGGAGUAGUAUGGGGGCGGUGAGGCCUCCGCGGCAGCACAGCCGGCCACGGGAGGCAGGAGCAGGCGGCACGACCGGCGCUGCUUUGGGCGGCUGGACCAAGAAGACCAGAGGUUGAAGAAGCACUAUGGCCGUUGGAUGGACAUCGUAUGGUCACUGAAGCUAGAAUCGUUUAUAUUGACUAAGUUAACAAAGCCCUUGGUACGUUCCAACUUAGUAGGCCCAUAGGUCAGCCUCCGAAACGGUGCGCCCCAGAUGUCAGGGGGAGGAAUCAUUUUUUGGGCGGCCGAAGCUAAGAAUAUCCGAGAUUGAAGAAGAAGCACGACAUCCGUUGGAUAGACAUCCAACGGCCACUGCUGCUAGAACCGUGUGUUGACUAUAAUAAGUUGACAAAGCCUUGCAUACGCGUCAACUUAUUUUUUUAGCGGACGCGUCACUUAGUAGGCCCACAAGUGUGUGGCAGAGAACUUAUAGCCCAUUUGCAUUUUGUAAGAACUUACAGCCCAUUUUUGAAUUCUAAUGGAAUUUACAACAGCCCAUUUAUAAUUUGUUAAAAGUACAGCCCAUUUUCUAGCUAGGACAACGAUUAAUAAUUUCAACCAACCAUUGAAGACAGAAUUCAAUAAAAUUUCCCAUAUUUUGAUGGGAUCCGUAAUAUUUUUAUCCCGAAAUUUGUAUUUAGAUUAAAAACCCGCACGCAGCGACCUGGGGAGCUGGACCAGUACAAGAAGUUAUACCUCAGGUGGGCGAGAUGUCGUUUAGGCGGGCGAGUGGGAUCUGCCCACACGACGGCAGCGAACAAGGGCGCGGAGGAUCUUCGUCCGCGCCAGCGCCGGCUCCGAGAGGACGGUGCGCAUCGGCUCCUCCCAUCGCCACAACGUCAACGCUGCACCUCCUCACCUCCCGCAGCGGACGGGAUUCGGCCGGAUCUGUGACCACCGGUGAGGAGAGAGAUAGACUGGACACUGUCAUCUUGUUUUGAUAUGGAGAGGGUGAGAGAGUGAGACGCGAGAAACUCUAUCAAACAAGAGGCUAUAAUGGAGUAAAAAAAUCUCUCCAUAGCAGUGGUUUUAAAUAGAAUACGCGCGUUCCCGGAAAAAAGAAACAAAAAUUGGCGGACAAUUUUUUAAGGGUCUGUCUAGGACACAUCUAGAUGCGACUUAGUUAUGUCACAUCUAAGUUGAUGUCCACUCUAUUUGUGGUCUUUUUGGGGGGGGGUCCUAGUUUUUUUUGUUUCUUGUUGGUACAUUAUAUACUUGUGGGAGCUUAGAUGUGAUAUCCUUAAAUAACAUCUAGAUGUGAAUUGGACAAACUGAUUUUCUAACGUACCAAGAAAGAAAACUCGAUCAAAAACACGCCCCCGCUUCCAGAUCGCGAGAGUUGUCGCGCACACACACAUAGACAUAGACAUGCAUAUCCGUGUUUACAUAAAAUUUCAUUUCCAUCUCCAUCUCCAAUCAUAUUUGUCCAUCUGGCACAUUAUUUACGUUGUUAAUUAUAUAUGCAGCAAUAUUAACGUACAUCAUCUCUUGUUUGCGCACGUCCGGACCGCUGCCACGGCCGGUCCUGACCAACCCGAACACUCUUCAUCACCCGCGCGUGCUUUCCGCCCGAAACGGUCAGUGCCGCAUUAAUGCCCGGCCAGAGCGGACGCGACCUCUCACUGGCGCCGGCAUUGAAGCGGCGCGCCGGCCGAGAGAGUGUCGCCCGCGCCGCUUCCGGGAGCACGCGGCUGCUCCACGUUCAAAGAUCGCAAUAGCCGGCUACAACAUGCAUGUAAAAAGUUUUUGGGAGUCCGUGCUACAGCUAGCUGUCCUCCCCCAACUCGUCAAUCUCUUCUAGUAGUGCUAGUAGUACUCCAUGGCGCGAUCCAUCGACAAGCAGGCGGGCAAAGUUAUCGUAUACUCGGUUUGCGGUGAGUGGCAUGCCGAGCGACUGUGUGGGGUCGAGCCGUGGAGGAGGGUGAGACACGAACACGACAGACGUGAUUUAAACGUUGGUUUUGCUCGAUGGCGCGAUCCAACAAAACGAAACCUUGGUUUUUCUCCGUUUCCAUUUUUUCUCCGGAAAAACGGAAACUUUCCACUCCAUUUUCAUUCCUAUUCCAAGGUUGCCCUAUUACAACAUUCCAUCAAAUACAAAGGAAAACUAACACGCAUGCUCAUGCAUCUCAAUGAUUCACAGAUCAUAGCCAAUAUUUACUUCAUAACUAAAAAAAAGUUGUGAGAGCGUGUACGAAAGAAAAACUGCUGAUGGGGUCACUACAACUUAAACCCUAAAUCCUAAACAUGAUUUAAUUCCCUGGCCAGGUAGAACCUGUCGAAGGAAAGACGGCUGGCACCCUCGGAUCAUACGAUGCUAUUGUGCAGUUCUACUAAAAUCGACCUGAGCAUCCCUGAUGGCAAAGAUAUUGAAGAAGUGUGAUUAGAAUAAUAGUACUGGCACUAGUUCAUGAGACAUAAACUCAUCACAAGUAGAAGCCGGUAGAAGUAGAGCAAGAUCGACAUGGAGAUGGAGCUAUGGCAGUGGAGCAAGCCGGCUCCAAAAGGAAGAUGGACUACCUGGGACAUCGGGCUAUAGCUAGAAGGGCAGUUGGGACACGGCAUCAGCCCAAACCGUGGUGACCCCCGAUUGGGACGCACUGACUGUGGGUUUUCUCCCUCGCCAAUGUCGACCGCGUCUACGCAGAACAUUGUUCCCUUCCCCCAGCUGCGGGAUCAGGCCCGUCGUUCUAUGCUUGUGAAGAGAGCAACCUUAGCAAGCAGGCUUGUAGCUUAGGCUCCUGCUAGUGUAUAUAUAGUGGUUUUCUUUUUCUCUCCAUAUCAACCAUUUUAUAUUGCGUACGUGUCAUUCAAGAGUGAAAUGAUGGUUGCUUCUUCCGACUAACUUACUGUGUGAUUUGACUGCUCCUUAGUGGCCCCUACACAUACUCCCCCUACAUGUAUGCAACAGUCACACGUACACAUGGACGCAAAAACGCGUGCGACGCCCUAAUGCAUGCAUGUCCGAGCACACGACGGAACACACACGGUCACGCUAAGUGCUCAACCUAUACGUGCAUGCACACACAUACUCAGUCAGGGUGAGCUAGUGACCAUAUAAACACCGGAAAAUAUAUAUAUUGAGUGCAAUGAGUGUAUUAUGAAGUCCACUGACCGUAUUUUUACAAAUAUACAGUGACAGAUAGUGUAUUUAUCUCGUUUGAAAUUAAUCCAUAUUAACCGGAGAGGAGGCAGUAUGGACUAGCAUUACUUGCGCGCGGUGGCUCGCAGGACAAGGAGAAACUUUUGACUAAUGCAAGCUCUCCCUCGCUCAGGCGGUGGAUGCGCAACAGUUAAUUCGGUGUCAUAUUGCCAGACGCACACACUAUACUACUAGUGCUACUAUUGUUCGACUUCCCGAAUAGGCGAACAGCCAAGCGCAAAGUUUACUAAUAUAGUCUAUAAAGGUACGUACUAUACUAGUACUAGGAACCAGAUGGAGGAGCGUCUGCACUCUUAUUACAAUUUUAAAAUGUGAUAAAGCAAUCUUCAACACAUUUGGUUAUCUUCGAGGGUUCUCGCAUGUGAUAAUGGAAGUUGAUUGCAUGGAACACUCGCCAUAAUUCUCGCUUAAUUCUGGCUCAUAUCCUGUUACAAAUAGUAGCGCUCGGUAAUAUUUCCUCUUUUUUUGUUAUUCGGCAUGUAAACAGGUCAGCAAACCUUGCGGCGCAUCUUCGUGCGAACCGUGCUUGCUGCACUUUGAAUGUGGCCGAGAGCUGGCUUGAUGAAACACCUCGCUUCCUACUUCUUUUUUUGCGGGGUACCUCGCUUCCUAGUGACCAGUGUCUUGGCUGAUCGUCCUAAGAAUGCUUAUAUAUGAAUAAAGCUCUCUCAUUUACCCGCAAAAAAGAUUGAGCCAUAUUAACCGAAAAGGAGGGAGUAUGGACUAGCACUACUUUUUGGUGUGUCCCGUCAACUCGCAGAACGAGGAGAAGCUUGCAAGACAAGGUGAAGCUCGCUUACGCCUUUUGACUAAUGCAACCUACCCUCGGUGGACAUGCAUCAGUCCAUUCGGUGUCAGAUUGUCAGAGGCAUACACUGUAGUACCCAACAUGCGGAGUACCAUCAUUGUUCGACUUCACGAAGAGGCGAAGAGCCAAGCGCAGUAGUACGCGUAGUACUAUUACUAGAACCGCAUGGUGGAGCGUUUGUACUUUUAUUUCUUUUUAUCUCUGAUAAAGUACACAUUUAUUCCGGAGAAGGGUGGAAAACGGCAGCCCAACAUGUAAUGAAUGAUAUCGAUCAACCAACCAUGCUCGAAUAUAUCUUGGCCUCCAUGCGAACCCGUCUGUGUGUUCUCGCUCCUCGUCUCUCUCAAGGAACGGCGGGUUGGCUCUUUGCCGUCAAUUGAGAUCGGUUUGCUCACAAUCCUGUCCCACAUGUCAGUGAUAUGCCAAGAGGAGGUGCGUUGACCGACUGGCCAUACGCGUACUUGGUUUUGAACCUUCAUACUACUCCUCCCUCCGUCAUAGUUUACAGGGCGCGCUUCAUUAUGAUGCAUUUCUCUCAAUGCAUUUCCACCACCAGAGAGACUUUAGACGCGUUUAGUUUUAUGCUCAAUUAAUUAGGGCGUGGUAACCGCAAUCAAGUCCACAAUUUUCUCUCCAUGUAACUACGGAAUGAAGUAAGUGCAUGAAUGUGUGUACCCGGGGUGGAAGCACUGCAUGCAUGUGUGUACGCAUUAUUCCCUCUACUAGUAAUAGACGCCGUGCUAUAACUACCAAUGUUAUUUUUCAGGCCGAUCGCUAGUCGCCUUGGUCCCACAGAUCUUUUUUCUUUUUUCUGAAGCGCGAUGUAUAAACAGUGGCGGAUGGAGUAGUAUGAGCGGAUUCAAAGAAGAGCGUAUUGAUGGUUGCUUCUUCAGAGCAACUUACAGUGGGAAAGGUGGGGCUUACGAUUUGACUGCUCAUUACUCACUAUUAAUGCGGCGCAAUGACCGGGCUGAGUCUCCCAUGCGGUUGUGCACUACCCCCUCGGUUCUUAAAUAUACUCCGGAGUAUAUUUGUCUUUCUAGAGAUUUCAACGAGUGACUACUCAAAUAUUUGUCUUUUUAGAGAUUUCAAAUGGACUGGCACAUACGGAUGUAUAUACAUAUUUUAGAGUGUAGAUUCUCUCAUUUUGCUCCGUAUGUAAUCACUUGUUGAAAUCUCUAGAAAGACGAAUAGAAUAUUUAGGAACGGAGGGAGUACACAUAUGAAGCAAAAUGAGUGAAUCUAAACUCUAAAAUAUGCCCGCUUGAAAUUUGUAAAAAGACAAAUAUUUAGGAACGAAGGAGUAUAAUUUUGUGCAUGGCACAUGGACCUGGAUGAUGAAGAGGCUUCUGGCAAUGCUAUCAAGCUUUCAUCAUUUUUUUACAUAAUUGACGUACUAUACAAAUAAUUUUCCAGCGAGACAUGAAAUUGUACAAUGGUGUGAGCUUUCAGCUUCUGUUUCGCGUGUCUUGCCAUCGAUGCUCUUUCGGAAACAAUAAAAAACUAACUUCCUUGCUAAUGCAUGUCAAUUAUUAGCAUAUCAGAGCUAAUAAUUACAUCACAACUGAAGACAGAGUUGUGAGAAGGUGUUAAAUUAAAAUUGAUCCAUGCUUUCAUUGGCAGCAACGUCCCCCCAGCUCUGUCUAAAUCAACAAGGCAUGUUGGGAAAAAAGUAGCUGUCUGGAGCAUGCAACAUUCCGAUCAUUUUGUGCAGUUCCACUAAAAUAGAGCUGAGCGUCCCUGUUCCAAAGAUAUUAAGUGUGAUUACGAUAAUAGAGGACUGUUGAUGAAACAAUAAACACAUAAAUAGAAGCUGGUCACCUUUGCAGUCUCUUUUAAGACUAACUAGUUGGAGAAGAUUAGGCUCAGAGUUGGAUGAGGAGGAUAGAGCAAAACUAAUCUCCCUUUGUGCAGUCGCACUGAAAUGUAGAGACGUUGCCCAUGUGACAUUUUAGUACAACUGCACAAAACACUCUUAAGAAAAAAGUGAUUUGUGCAGUUCACCAAAAGGUCGCAAUAGCAACGAGGUGAAAUGGAUAGCCCUGUUUGCAAAAAAGAGGUAGAAAGGAAACAAUUACUGGCCAAUAACAGUUGGUGACACAAGCGACGACAAAAAAGAAGCAUAUUCCGUGCCCUAAGGGAAGAUAACAACACGGUUGUGUUUGUCUAAAAUGGUGUGAGGAUGAGAAUGCAAUAUGGAAAGUACGCUGGACGAGCUACGUUUUGGGCAAAGAACUAUGGAAGAUCCACAUGCAGCGAGUGGGAAGACGGGUAGUGGAGCAAGGCCGGAGGGGAUACCUGGAGGUCGUCGGGAUGUAACUAGGUGAGCAGCGGUGGGCGGAAUCUGCGAGCAGGUGGCAUAGGCCCUGCCGCGCCGGAGCUUGGUCAGAGAGAACGGCAUGUACCGCAGAUCGGGACGUGCUGCCUCGGCGCCGUCGAACGGAGAAAUGAUGCACUUCCUCCCUUUCCCCCGGCGGACGGGAUUCGGCCGGAUCAGUGACCAACGGUGAGAGAGAGAGGCCACCGCACUCCCUUUCCCCCGGCGGACAGGAUGCGGCCGGAUCAGUGACCAACGGUGAGAGAGAGAGGCCACCGCACUCCCUUUCCCCCGGCGGACGGGAUGCGGCCGGAUCAGUGACCAACGGUGAGAGAGAGAGGCCACCGCAGCCUUGUGUGAGAUACUCUGGAGAGCGACAAACCAGGCACGCAAGGAUCCAUUGUAUAUAGUGAGCGGACUACCUUUUUCUCCAUAAAAAUCGUUUUAUAUUCUGUGUACGUGCCAUUGAGCGCUAUAACUUUAUUUAAAAAUAACGCGACAACGCGUCAAGUCGAACUUUGUUUCGUGCAGGCGUGGUACACGACCUCCCUAGGUAAACAACCGCUACAGGCGUUCAAAUUAGCACGUGGGCUGCCAUUUCAUAAAGAAAUGAGCUCCACCGUGUACCCGCGCGGGUGUGGCUGGGCACGAAGCGUGAGUACGUGCACGGUGCACCUAUUCUCUUCUUGUAUACGUACACCACCUACGUGGGGUUGUGUGAGAGAGAUACAAACCUAGAGAGAUAUAGUGUGUGGGUUCUUGAGAGNNNNNNNNNNNNNNNNNNNNNNNNNNNNNNNNNNNNNNNNNNNNNNNNNNNNNNNNNNNNNNNNNNNNNNNNNNNNNNNNNNNNNNNNNNNNNNNNNNNNNNNNNNNNNNNNNNNNNNNNNNNNNNNNNNNNNNNNNNNNNNNNNNNNNNNNNNNNNNNNNNNNNNNNNNNNNNNNNNNNNNNNNNNNNNNNNNNNNNNNNNNNNNNNNNNNNNNNNNNNNNNNNNNNNNNNNNNNNNNNNNNNNNNNNNNNNNNNNNNNNNNNNNNAUAUGCAAUGUGUGUGAAAUAGAGUCCUGGAUAUAACAUAUAUAUAGAGGGGGCGAUCCACGAGAAGAGAGCGGAGGUAUCACCAGCUUCAGGUGUCCAUAGAAUCGAAAAGAGGGAUGAUGUGUGUGUGUGCGCGCGCAAUCGAUAAAGAGUGCCAUCGAAUUUGUGUGUGCCCACAUCAAAGAUAUAGAGUGGCUGGCCUACUGGAACGUGAGAGGGGACAUGUGCAGUUUGUCUUUGUGGCAUGGAUACCUACCUGCAGCGCUCGACUAUCGGUGUGUGGUGGGGGAAGAGGGAGGCCCAAUUAACUAUAGAGGUACAAUGGCUGGUAUAUGUGUGGGGGAGAGAGGCCUACCUCAUGUAUUAAGGAGAUUGAUCUGCCUCAUGUAUUAAGGAAGAUCGAUCGGCAUCCAUGCAUAUGUGCAUGAGAGAAAUAAGGUUGGGAGAGAGACAGAGAUAGAGUGUUGGAGGGGGUGGUAGUGGAGUUGCUUCUAACAAAUGGUGGGAUAGGCUUGCUAGACAAACGGAGGGCACGCCCGCAAUAUCAAUAAGAGAGGAGAUGGCUGCUUGUUGUCUGUGCAUGUGCGUGUGAGAGACGGGUCAGGAGGCAUGCACGAAUGAUGAGGGGGGACGAUGUGGCUGUGGUAAGCAUACAUAACUACAUAGGAAGAUCAAUCGCCCUUUGUUAGAGAAAGGAGAGACAUAACUUGUGAGGUACGUCGAUCGAUGGGGGGGUGGUUAAAGUCAAUCCAGGUAUAUGUUGGGAGAUCGAUCGGUAUACAUGCAUGUGUGUGUUAGAAGCAAACAAGGCACGAGGAGAAGGAUAGAGAUAGAGGGAUGCAUGUAGGAGGUGGUACGAGAGGCAUACUAUAUCGAGCGGGGAGUGUUGUGCGAGUACGAGAACGAUGAAAAGAGUGGUGGGAGUGAGGCAUGGACGGUGACAAGAGAAGAGGGGAAGCUUGUGUUUGUGCUAGGCACACCUGGCUAGAGAGGCAUAUCGAUCGAUGUGUGCCGUAAAGAAGGAGCUGGGGGGCCUACACAUGCCGUGGGUGAACGACCUAAAGUGAAAAGACGAAUUUGCACGAUGGAGCUAGAGAAUGCCGAGGGAGGGUGAGAGGGAUGCGGGCGUGUGCAUGCACAAGAGAAAGUUAGCGCUAGCUACAAAGAUAAGAGGGUUGUGUGUGUGUAAAAGACUAAUAGAGAUCAUAUAUACUUCAUUAUAAAAACCGAAUUCGGAUAUUUGAAGAAUUUAUCAUAGUGUUUUAAACCGACGAAUGUGUGAAUAUAUAUAACGGUGAUACACAUGGUGUGUUUAUGAACAUGUUAUACUAUAUUUAAUAUAUUUUAUCUCUACUCUUAUAAAAAACAGAGUUGUUGAUGAUGGUGUGCCUGCCAUCCUGCAUUAUAGGCCGUCCAAUUUAUAUCUGGCGGAUAGCAAGGAAACUAUGAUGGUUGAAGUUGGCAACAAUCAUGAUUGUAGAUUCUUAUUGAAAUAGAGAAACGGAUUCAAAUUUAGUUCGAAUUGCAGCGGUAGUAUAGACAUUUGGAAUGCACUAAAAUGUUGGUAUGAGUAGGUUACAUGCAUUAUACAGCAAAGCGAAAAAAAUUAAUCGGACAUAACGUGGAUUCAUACUCCCUCCUUCCAUCUAUAUAGGGCGUAAUGAGAUUUUUAAGACCGCCUUUGACUAUUGACAAGAUUAAUAGUACAUGACAUGCACAAUGUGAAAAUUAUAUCAUUGAAAGAACCUUUCACAGACGAAGUUAACGGUGUGCUUUGUGUAAGUUGCAUGUCAUAUAUCAUUGCUCUAAUAUUUGGUCAAAGUUAGUAUCGAAAAACGCAUUAAGCCCUAUAUAGAUGGAAGGAGGGAGUAGCUUUGAAUAGCAUUUGUAUAGUAAAACGGGGCAAGACUGUCUCUUUGUGUGGUGUGAAUAGUUUUAUUUUUUUCGUUUUCUUUUUGGUUGAGGGAAGUGCGAAUUGAUUUGGUACGUACAAGUACAAUAUUACUACAUGUUAGGUUUGUUAUAUCCCGAAAUUUCAGAUAUCGUGCUCCCAAAACUGGCGCCUUCACAACCCGCGCCUUGCUAUCCCGAAAUUACAAUGCGUGCGAAAACUCCCUCCAGCUGCCAAAUCCCGACAUGCGAAAUCCCCCUUCUAACCCUGAGCCGAAAGGGCCACUAGUUCAAAUCGGUGGGGGGUACUUUUGUAACACACCCUACAUUUUGGACAAGCGCGUCCAUAAGUCAUGCUUCACCCCCUCCCAUCGCCCCCUUUUCGCCAUUCGAAAUCCCAGGCCGCCAUAACCUCUCCGCUCCAGCCGCGAAACCCCACCCUCCUCCGUCCGCCACGUCACCGCUGCCCAGCCAGAGCCUCUUCCCCGACGACGUCGUCCACCGCAACAGCUCGACGUCCCUCGUCCACCUCCCCGGAUGAGGAUCCGUCGUCCAUCUCGUCGUCCCGCCGGUUCAGCCACCCUGUCCUCCACCUCCAAGGAGCUGCUCCAACGAUCGCCUCGUCUAUCGCGGCUGCUCCAUCCCCACAACGCCGCCUUAACCUGCUCCACCGGAACCUCAACAUCCUCACCGACUCCUCGGACGAAGCCGAGGCCUACUCGGCGCCACCAAAGAGGUUGUACACUCAUCGCAUCGCACCUUCUCCUUAACUCGACCUCCUGGCGCCGACGGUGCUCCAUCCCGCACCCCCAUGGAGCGGCUACCUUGAAGCCGGCGCCGCGGGCGACAUCUCCACGGCGGCUCUUCCCCAGUGCUAGGCCCCUUCGGCGGCGGCGUCCAUACCAGCCGGAUCUGCUGCUGCUGCUCCGGCUCUCGCUCGAUCGCUCGCUCGCCUAGCUGCUGCUGCUGCUCUCUCCCUCGCACGUGCUGCUGCUCUGCUCCGAUUAAGCCACACUUCAGUCGACUGAAUCGACUUUUGGGUCAGUCGAUUUUCAGGGGUUGGGGGGAGGGCUCGUCGGAGUUAAGGAAGAACCACCCGCAGCGGGGACGGGGGCUCGCCGGAGAGGUACCCCACUAUCUAUCUUAGGGUUCAGGGUGGGGGUGGGCGGGAGGCCUAGAGGGCUGGCCGGGGCGGCGGUGGCGAGUUGUUUCGGGGCGGCGAGGCGGCGCUGGGGCCGGCAGUUCGGCCAGUGGUGGCAGGCGGCUCAGGGGUGUGCAGGUUGAAGAUGAACUGCAGGCCCUCCCUAAACUACAUGUCAAGUGUCUCUCUGCUACCAUUGCGUUCAGUUUCGACAGUAGCAUUCAGAUUCCACAGUUAAUUUCAGUUUCGACAGUUAAGUUUAGAGUCAAUAGUUUUUACCUCAUCUGUUGUAGUCAGGUGGUUUUUGGUGAUGUUAAUUUUACAUCCAUUUUUCAUCAUCUAUUGGAGAUGCUAUUAGAAUCCCACUUGAGAUUGACGAUGUCUGUCUUGUGCUGCUUCAGCCUUGAUGUCUUACGGCUCACCGAAGCUGCUCCAACGACAGAACGGUCCAUCACAAUAGAGAAGUGCCCUGGACGUCGUCUACAGAUUCCUCAGAUCUUCCUCCACACCUCCAACAGCCACCUCUGCCUCAACUGCUUCAGCGACCAACCCAAUGAUGCUGAGGUCGACACGGCUACGGCAAAGAGGUUGUACAUUGUUGCGUCACUUAUUACUAUACAUUCACGUCGAUCCAUUAGGGCUAUUUUUUUUCAACGGAAAAACAUCGAUCCACUGGUUGUUACCAUCACUCUAAAUUUCUGCAUGCUCUCCUUACAUAAUCUCACCAUAUUUUUUCCGUAUGCAUGUCAGAUAUUGUACACAGUCAUGCUGAACAUGUAGAGAAAAAGAGAAGAGUUUUGCGCGGCAAUACAAUGUCAUGCAGACAUCGCUCCAUGGUGGGUUCAAUGGCAAACCCUCCCCACCCCUCUCCAGAUUGUAAUCCAGAGGAAGAUAUCUGUUCUGAGGCGUAUUCAGACGCUGCUGACCACUCCUAUUUACCCCCCAAGGUGUUUGCUCUACCUUGGCAUGAUGAUGUUAGUCAUAUCAUGCAUAUGUUGCCUUGCAGUGCCUACUUUUGACAUCAUAUAUGUCAUCUGCUUAGUUUAGACAUGUUCUGUAAUGCCACCUGUUUAGUUUCUAUAUCAUAUAUGGGAAUUAUGCAGUCUCAUGUCUUUUAGCCAGCCAUAAUAUAUGUGAAAUGUGCAAUGCCAUCCUGUUUAACCAGGCAUCAUAUAUUUGAAUGAUAUCUUGCCCAUCCUUUUCUUCAUUACAUUUUCAUUUGUCGACAAUGUUUGUACAUUAAACUACUCUUCAUGUAAAUCAGCCAUUUGGGUGGGAGAUGGAAAAAUCUGGAGUGAAAACAAGGCCUUCAGAGCACGCAGUGCUACCUGUCGAAGCAGAUCUCUUGUUGGGUCCCGAUAGCUCCUCAGAGAUGGAUUCAGAAACAGAUGACCAGUCCUAUUCCCCCACUGAGGUGUAUGCUCUAACUUGGCACGGUUAUACUGCUCAUAUCAUGCAUACAGUGUCUUGCAUUGCAUAGUUUAGACAUCAUAUACACAAUAUUCAACACCAUGUUCUUAGUUCAGACAUCAUAUCGAAUGCCCUUUGUUUAGCAUAUAAAUCACAUAUGUGAAUUAAAUGAUGCGAUCCUGAUUACUUAGAUAACAUGUAGGUGAAUUAUGUCAUGCGAUCCUGUUUAGUUAUUCAUCAUAUCUUUGAAUUAUGUUAUGCUAUGCUAUCCAGUUUAGAUAGACAUCAUAUAUGUAAAAUUAUGUCAUGCUAUCCGUUUUAGUUAAACAAUAUACAUGUCAACUAUUUCAUGCCCUCUUUUUCCCACACUAUCUAUUGCAUCUGUCUCUCAUACAAUGUCUGUACAUUCAACUAUGUUUCCUGUUUAUCAGCCAUUUGAAUUGGAGCAGGUGAUGCCAGUAUCUAGCGGAAUAAAAACACGGUCUUCAAAUAAAACAGUGCUACCUCUUGGUGGAGAUAGCACCCCGGUUGUACAUGCACAAGAACCAGCCCUACCACACAUAACCCAAACUCUCGCAGAUUGUACCCCUACUGCGAUGGACAGAGAACCAGCUUCACCCAAUCUAACCCCAACCCUAGCCGAUAGUAACCCAGUUCCUAUUGACACAGCACCAUCUCCACCACAGAGCUCCCAAACAACAGCAGUUAGUAAGGCAGCUCCAGUGCCCAAAGGGCCAGUACUAUCACGGCAAACCCCAACUCCACCAGUUAGUACGCCUAUUCCUGUGGAGGAAGCACAACCAGCCAGUCGUAGUUUAGCAUCUAUCGCAUUUGAUGUUGUUAAAUCGUAUGUGCGUAUCUUCCCAUCUUGGAAAUAUUAUACUGAAGAUGAAGGAAAAUGCCAGUUGCAGGUGUUUGUCCAGUAGUUAUGUGUAAGUAAUGUUAUUCAUGGCAAUUACUUUGCUUCGUCCCAUACAUCCUACCUCCAUGAUGGUUAUAAUACAGCAAAUUUUCCCAUUUUUCUCUAUAGAGAAGGACCGAUUUAGAAACUCAGGAUGAGGUAACCUGUGCUAAUACCUAUGCUAUCUUCAAGAAUGCUUGGUGGCAGUAUCGGAAUUACCUGAAGAAAACGUACUUCACCGGCAAAGAAACUCAUCAAAUUCCCUUACGUUCUCCUAAGACACAUUUACUGGACGAUGACUGGGAACGCCUUGUUCUGUACUGGUCCCGAACCAAGAAUGUGGUAAGGUCUAUGAGCUCAUUUUUUAUUUUUAAGUAUUUUAUUCUUGCGUCUUACUGUACUCUGUUCAUGUAGAACAAGUGCCUAAACCUGAAGAACAACUAUUCUAAUUUAAGAUUCCAUUGCUAUCAUAGUUCAAAAAAGCGCUAGCUGUUAAUUGUGCGUUUUGCCACCGCCUUGCGCUUUACUGACCAAAGCGCAUGCUUAUGCGCAAUUAUGCAUAGAUUAUGCGUAGUUAUGCGCAAUGCGUUUUUCCAACGCCUAGAGCCUAGGCGCGCUUAAGCGCUCGCUUAGGCGCGCCUUUUUUAACUAUGAUUGCUUUGCUCUUGUAUCACUGUAUUUACUGAUAUGAACUUAUUUUUAAAUUGAAGGAUCCAAUCGAAACUCCAAUGGCACAGCAGGUAUGUUCACGCAUGUUUCUUUAAUAGGUUUGCUCUUAUCAAUAGCUCUGUUGAUUUCAAUUCCAAUUGUGUAUACAGUUGACUUUCAUAUCAUGCACAUUACUAGCAUCACAACAGAGCCAAUAGUGUUGUUGUACAUGUAGACCCGUGGUACCCAUCUGAAAUCUUGUUGUGCCGUGCAGUUUCCCACACUUUGUAUUCUUUCACUGCUGCUUUGUCUUGAACUGAUAUGAUUUGAACCGUAUCUCUAUUUUGAUUUGGCAAGAUAAUGUAGUGACCAUAGGACAUAGAUAUAUGUUUGUUUGAUGCUUUUAUUAUGUACUAGUACUUGGCAAUAGAAGACUUGGUAGUUUAAUCCUGUCCACCUUACUAAUGAACCGGUUCACCGAAAUGAGUUUCAUAUACUAGUACAUGCUAAACAUAUUAUGUGUCUGCUUGUUUCUUCUUUUAGAAUGCUGACAGAAUAUUGGGGAAGAGUGCCUUAUUAAGCAAUGGUAUAGAAAGUAAUGCAGAUAAGGUUCAGGAUAGUGACACAUCCUUGUUGGUCUCCAACAAAGCUGAUAAAAUAGCUAAGGAACACUAUCUUGAAGACAGCGAGACAACCCCAAAGUGCUGUCUUGGUUUAGUGUUCGAGUUACUGGCCACUACUGCAUGCACAAGCUAUUCAAACUCACGGUCUGAAUCAGUUCGGUUUCUUGAGUCUCAACUACAAGCUGAAAGACAUCGAUCAGCUGUGCUGCGACAAGAAGCGGAAGGACUGCGGAAGUCCCUGGAGCAUUCAGAUGCAUACUUUCUGGUGCAACAGCAAGCGUUGGAGGAUUUUAGCGCCAAACAGGACAAAGCUAAUCAGCUUGCUAAGCUUAUUGCCAGCAUGGUGGAUACCCAGGAUAACGUUUCUUGAGCUCUUUUGAAGUUGUUUCAGUUAUGCUCUUAUUUUGCUGCCGCUUUUAUUUGCACCGGUGGCCAAUUUUGACGGCCAAGUGUAUGUAAUAUGCUGCUUUGUUCCCUAUAUUUGCACUGGUGGUGAACUUUGAUGCCCAGUGGAUGUAAUAUGUGUAAUAGCGGUAAUAGGCUAGCUUUAAUUGCUUGCUUAUUUAUUUCCUUAUUGUCUUGUUUAGUUGUUUGCUUGUAGUCACUGCAGUUCUUUUUCUGUGUUUUUCUAGUGGCCACAAUAGCCUAUUUUUGGUAACUAGGCCAAAAUAAUCAUGGCAACACACGGACUGUUGUAACCAUGGGCCUCCUGCAGGCCGUAUGAUCCAUGGGCCUUCGUUCGGCCGUAGGACCAUUGGCCUUCUAUACGGGCCGUAGGAUCCAUCUGCCUUCUAUACGGGCCUUAGGGAUCAAUGGGCCUUCUACGGGCCGUAGGGUCCAUGGGCCUUCUACGGGCCGUACUAUCCAUGGGCCUCAUACGGGCCGUAGGAUCCAUGGGCCUUCUACGGGGCGUAUCAUCAUUUCGCCAAUCAUGGGCCGUACUAUUCAUGGACCAUAACGGGCCGUUAAUAGGCCGUAUUUGAUAACUCUAUGAAAAUAGCCCAACGGGUUUUUUUGACAUGAAAACGGCCCAACGUAUUAACGGUCCGCAAACGGGCCGACUGUAACAACGGGCUGAAUUUGGCCCACAAGCAGAAAAUGACAGUAACAGGUCGUAUGUAACUGAAUGCUGCAAAUGAGCCCAAGAAUCAAUGGGCCCUGAGAAGUCCAAAAGAUAACUUGGGCUGGAAACGGCCCAAUGGAAUAACGAGCCGUUAAUGGGUAUAAAGUGAUACACUGUUCAUUACAGGCCAGUUUCACCACGGGCCGUUAAUGGGCCAAGAGUUACAAAGGUCCUCAUAUGGGCCGAAAGAAGUCAUGGGCCACACAUGGGCCGAAAAUUAAAACGGGUUGAAUCAUAUUGGACGGCCCAGAUGACGCUACUAGGCCUAAUUCGGAUAGGGCGUAACGGGCCCUGGGUUAGCAGGCUGUGAAUGGGCUAUAUGCGAACAGGCCGUUAACAGGCUUUCCGUGGGCCGGCCCGCCACCUUUUGACCAAGUCAAACGGGCCGGCCUUUUCACAGGAAUGGGCCUCUGUUGGGCCGUGCCAUGUGUCGCCGUAUCAUAGGCGCCUUCGGUCCAAUGAGCAGAUGACAUCUGUCCCAACGGUGAGCCGACACGUGUUUGCUCCAGCCAAUGAAGAUUUUACACAUGGAAAAUCCCCAUUGGUCGGGGCUGUUAACGGGUUAUCGGAUCCAAAACCCGACCCGGUAGCUUAACGGCGUUCCGUUACGGUGGAUGCCACGUGUCGGUCACCCUUGACGAAAGCAGUUCUGUGACGCGUGAUUUAUCGUCAUGGAAGUGGACACUUCCGUGAUGAUAAUUUUGGUAAUGUCAUGGAACACUUCUACGACAUCACAUGUAUGACUAUCUUGAUUCUGUCAUAAAUUUGUCAUGGAUGUACAUGCAUGACAAAAAACGCGACCUACUGUGACAAACACGUAUCAUCAUGGAAGUGUAUUUUUUUGUAGUGCUCUGAACCAACAAAUCAUAGUUGUUUCCGUCUAGAUCUGGCUAGGGUUUGCCGAGGGUUGCUAUUGCAAUUUCAUAGGAGGGGAUCAGGGGGAGGAGAGGAAGGCGACCAACUGCUUGAGCUCUGAGGGAGAGGUUUUUUUGCUGUUUUCUCGGUACAACGACUGUNNNNNNNNNNNNNNNNNNNNNNNNNNNNNNNNNNNNNNNNNNNNNNNNNNNNNNNNNNNNNNNNNNNNNNNNNNNNNNNNNNNNNNNNNNNNNNNNNNNNNNNNNNNNNNNNNNNNNNNNNNNNNNNNNNNNNNNNNNNNNNNNNNNNNNNNNNNNNNNNNNNNNNNNNNNNNNNNNNNNNNNNNNNNNNNNNNNNCAUGGGCGCGGGGAGUGGGUUGUUCUGGCGUGUAGGCCGUGGUUUUUGCAUGCCCAAACGUGCGAGUAGUUUUGUUGUUCUCCUGAACGAGGACAUGCAGGUUGCCGGGCCUUGUGACCUGACGAUUCAUGCGGCACACACCCUCUCCCUCCCCUCACACCGCAUGUUCGGUGAAUAUUGAUAUCCAUUUUUUUAGAAGCCCGUUGGAACACACGGGCGUUCUACUAGUUAGGCUCAAUUUUACUGUCUAAAAAAAUUAAGAAAACGUUCAUCUAGAGAAGGAGAAGCAAGAGAGUUGGGGCCCAUGUUCUACUUGAUUGGCAGUUAGUUUGCCAACAUCUAAGAGCAACUCCAAUCGGGCAACCCAAUUGGACACAAGGUUUGUCCGCUUUUUAUCCGUUUGGGUCGGGCGCGGAUAUGCCCACUUCUGUUUUUUCAUUUGGGUUAGCACGCACACCCAACACUGACCCGACCCAUAUUUUUAAAACGCGGACUUAAAAAAGGAGCAAUCACAUUCAAAGUUAAACAUAAUUAUACAUAACCAGUCAGCCGCCAGCCAAAGUCCACAUUAACAUUAAAGACUAAUUAAUCAUAAAAAAGUCCACGCAGCCCCGUGUGUUACCCUAGGUGUUCUCGUCGUCCGACCCGAGACCCAGGGGAGUGCCGCCUCUAGGCCCGGGGCACUUCGCCCUGCUGCGCCGGCUACUCGGCCAUGGGCACAACGCUCCUCCUCCUCCUCCUUCUCGCUCUCCAUCUGCAUGAGCCGCUCAUCGUCGGCACGCUCGCCCGCCAGUGUGCGCUGCCUCCACUGCUCAAGGUAUGCGACCUCCUGCGCCGACGUCGCGCUGAGCUAGAUGGGAGGGGCACUCGCGCAGGUCCCUGAUCCAGACAUAGCGCUCGGUCAGCUCCGUUGGCGAUGGCUCGGCCUUGGGCGUCAGUGGGGCGAGCCUCGGCGGCACCAUGUAGUCACUGGGCGCAGAGAGGGCGAGGGCCUCCGCCAGCCUCGCCUGGUAGUUCGUCGCCUCCUCCUCCUCCUUGCGCCGCUCCUCCUUGAUGGAGGCCUGCAUGGUUGCCGCCAGCGUGGCCUGGUACGCAACCUCCUCUAGCUUGACCAUCCGGGGCGGCGGAGGGUUGGUGUGGUGCUCCUGGACGUCGCGGCGGCGUUGCUCCUCGUGCUCGAGGGCAAACCACACCUCCCAAUCGAGAGAGUUCGGCGCGUACGUCGGCAUCCGACACGCUUCGGCGUGAGGAGCUCCUGCCACCUGCGCACCUCGUCGGCGUGCGCCCGCUGCAACUGCGGCACCACCGGCACCGGGAUCCGUUGUAGAUCCAGAUGCUAGUUGUGUGGCAGGGUGAUGUCUGGGUAUGACAGCGACCGCCUGUACUACCAAUGCCACCUCGCUUGGUGCACCGGAAUGUGCGGGCACUGCCUAGCAGGGCGGGCAGGCGGCGGCGGCGGAGGAGGAUGCACCGAGGGUGAACUUCCCCUUGCUCUUCCCGAAGCCACUGAAGAAACCCAUGGCUAGGGUUUGCUUGUUACCGGCGAGGGAGCACGUGGGGGCUAGAUGUGGACGGGCAGUGGAAGUGGAUGAGACCCCCCAUGCGUGGAUUAGAAAAGGACGACCUCCUGACGCUUCCACUGGUUGACGCAUGGGCCCGCGGUAGGUAGCCACUAUAAAUAUGACCGCGUUCGGUGGUUGGCCGGCCGACAUGUGAGGCCGCGGCGGACACUGAGAGGACGCGCGGCGCAUCCGCUUCGUCUAAAAUGCGUCGACGCGGACACGAAGCGGGCAUAUUUUGGUUUGCAUCGGCGUGUUGGGGCGGUGUGUUUGUCCGCUUCAUUUCAAACGGACAUGGGCGGAUAAAAUGGAUCGCCGGGUUGAAGGUUUUUUUUGAGCAGGAAUAAAAUUCAUUCCACUUAGAACUGGCGCACCAUCUCAGUGUCAACCAGAACCGAAACGAAGUCUGGGGCUUCAGCAGCCCAAACAGAAAAAGGGCCAGCAGCCCUCAAACCAAAUUGCGCCAGAGAGUGUGCAACCCUAUUACAUUCCCUGUGACAGAACAUGAACUCAUAGGAGCCAAAAGAAGCAUGGCAUACACUCCUAGCUUCCCUGAAGAGAACACCCAACUCUGUUGUGUCGUAGUCCCGGCUCUUGAGCGCACUGUUCAUCAUUAGACAAUCUGAUUCAAGGAUGAUACGUUGAGCACCCAGAUCUGCCGCGCCCUCAAUAGCUUUCAUGCACGCACUGAUCUCCGCUUGCAGAGGGCUCCGGACAUACUGCAACUUCCCAGCCGCCGCUGCUAGGAAAUUUCCCAAUUCAUCCCGAAUUACAAAACCCCAAGCACCCACCUCUGACUCCGCAAGGAAGGCUGCAUCCAUGUUUAUCUUUACCCGACUUGACUCAGGGGCAGUCCAGGACUAUUUUUGCAUGCCUUGUGUGUUGCCCCUAGUCAGCAAGUUCUCAAAGUCUUGAACGUGUCUGCUAAUGACCCCACUCACUUCCUGAGCUGUUUUCUGUUUGUCACCCGUAUUCAUUUUGUUUCUCGUAGUCCACCAGUCCCAUAGGAGUACAGCCACCCGGUGCUUCUUCUCUUCUGGCAGUGCACAAACAACAUUUAUGACUUGGAAAGAGUCCUUACAGUCGCACAGCAAAAGGCGAGUCUCUUCCAGAUUCUGCUCUCGCCAAACCGCCUUCACACACUUGAAGUGGAGGAAAAGAUGUCCACCAUCUUCAUCUAAGCAAUUGCACAUAGGGCAGCGGGUAUCGAUCUCAAUGUGUUUCUGUUUUAUAUUCAUACGAGUGGGAAGACUGUUAUAGGCCAGCCUCCAUAAGAACAUACAGACUUUCCCUGGCACCUCCAUCGUCCAGAUAUGAUGCCAUUGGACUGUAUGUCUCUGGCCAUUUGAGGUUCCUGUAUUUUGUUGUUUCCUAGCUUCCCUCAGGCUCACUCCCAAAUGGUAGGCUGAUUUAACAGAGAACCCGCCUUUGUUAUCAUAGUGCCAGAAGAUAAAAUCCUCCAUUUCUGCUCUCACAGGUAUGGAAAGGAUGACUCUCGCAUCCUCCUCCGUGAAGAGCUCUCUCACUAGUUCAUCAUCCCAUGUCUUAGUAAUCGGAUUUAAGAGCUCAUUUACUAUAGUAAUGAUCGCCUGGCCUUGCAACGCUACUGGCCAUCUCGUCGUACCCCUAGGAAGCCACGGAUCUGACCAGACAUUCACUUGCAUUCCGUCUCCAAUGCGCCGAACAAUUCCUUCUUUUAACAGGUCACACCCUCUUAAAAUGCUUCUCCAUGUGUACGACAUUCCCGGCUGUUCCUCCGCCUCCAGAAUAGAACACUUUGGAAAGUAUUUUUCCUUGAGCACAAUUGCACACAGGGACUCCGGAUUCUGUAUAAGCCUCCAGCUCUGCCUUGCUAGCAUUGCUUUGUUGAAAAUAUGCAGAUCCCGGAAGCCUAGCCCACCCUCCUUCUUGCUUUUCAUGAGCUUUUCCCAUCUGGCACUUAUGCUUUCCUUCAUGUUGAUCCCACCAGUAUUGGCAAACCAUCGCACUUAUAUCAUCACACAGGCUCUUUGUCAUGUCAAAACAUGACAUUGUGUAGGUCGGGAUCGCUUGGGCAACUGCCUUGAUUAAGGUUUCUUUUCCUACCUUUGAUAAUAGCUUCUCAAGCCACCCCUGGAUCCUCCUCCAGAUCAUCUCCUUUAUGUACUCAAAUUCCUUGCUCUUUGCUGCACCAAGAUGCACCGGCAGCCCCAAGUACCUCUCAUUAUGUGCUUUGCCGGAAUCCCUAGGACUUGUAGGACCCGUUGUUUAUUCUGCAGAUUUGUUUUCUUGCUGAAGAACGCAAAGGACUUGUCUCUAUUUAUUUUUUGGCUCGUCUAGGCUUCAUAUAGCACAAGGAUCUCCUAAAGUUUCAAGGCACUCGCCUCCGUAGCUUUCAUGACAAUCAGGGAGUCAUCUGUGAAGAAAAGAUGAUUUAUGCUCGGAGCACCUGGGCAUAGUUUGACACCCUCGAUCGAUCCCUCAUGUGCUGCAUGCUGCAGCAAUUUGGAAAAAGCUUCUGCACAUAUGAUGAAGAGAUACAGAGAUAAGGGAUCUCCUUGACGUAGGCCUCUCUCGGGAAGAAAGAGAUCCGUUAAGCUUCCGUUCACCUUGACCCUGUAUGAGACUGAGCACACGCAUUUCAUCACCAAGCUUACCCAUGUUGCAGCAAAGCCCAUGGUAAGCAUCAUGCGUUCCAGAAAAAGCCAUUCCACCCUGUCAUACGCCUUACUCAUGUCAAGUUUCACUGCCACCAAUCCUUGUCUCCCUCCCUUCUUUUUAUGCAUCAGGUGGGUUAUCUCAUAGGCAAGCAACAGAUUGUCCGUGAUCAUCCUUCCCGGGACAAACGCAGAUUGUGUUGGAGAAAUCAGGUCUGGUAGUAUCCUUUCAUAUGGUUAGCCAAAACUUUUGAAAUGAGCUUACGCAAGACAUUGCAUAGGCUGGUCGGUCGGUAUUGUGUGAGUGACUAUGGGUUUUUCACCUUUGGAAUCAACACUAUCGUUGUUUCAUUCCAUCCCAUGGGCAUGAUACCGCCAUUUAACACUGCCAGGACCUCCUCCUGUACUUUAGCACCCACUAUAUCCCAAACCUUUUAUAGAAUAGGGCCGGCAUGCUGUCCGGUCCAGGAGCUUUGAGGUCACCGAUAGCAUCAAGAGCCUCUCUUAUCUCCUCCGCGGUGAAUGGCUUAGUGAGGUAUACAUUCAUCUCAGGCGUAACCGACACAUUUAUAUGGCGGAAAAUGUCAUCAUUUAGGGGGCCUGCAGAAGAUACAAAUAGACUUCGGUAAAAAUCAGUGAUAAAGGGUCCUAUUUCUUCCUUCCUCUCCACAACACUUCCAUCAUCCCUCUUCAACCUCCGGAUCAUAUUCACCCUCCUUCUCUCCGAAGCAUGGGCAUGGAAAAAGCCAUUGUUUCGAUCACCAAAUUUGAGCCAAUUGACAUGCGCCCGCUAUUGCCAGUACACAUUAUAUUGGUCCUCCAACUGGCUAAGUCUGUACCGCAGCAACUGUUCGCGAGAGACUUGUAGUUGGUUAAUGGCUCCUCUCCGACACCGCUCUAGCUCCCUUGGGACCCCCUUUAUUAUGUGCUUCAGUUCGCCCAGGACCUCCCUGUCCCAUUUCAGUAGGCUUGCACCGACUCUCUUCAAGGCCUCGCCAACUUCUGUCUCUCCUUCCUAGAACGCAUUAUUCCAUGCCUCCUCCACAACCUCAUGACACCCUUCCUCCUGUAGCCACCAUGCCUCGAAGCAGAAACAUCUUUGACCCCUUCCAACGCCCAGGGAUUUAUCUUGCGCAUUUAGUUCAGCAAUAACGGGGCGGUGGUCAGAAUGUCUCGGAUCCCUGUUAAUGAUUUUGUGCAAUGGAAACAAGCACCUCCACUCAACAUUUGCUACUGCCCUAUCCAGUCGCUCCUUUGUAUACCCGAUCGUGUCUCUCCAGUUAUUUCUCCAUGUGAACGGGUCGCUGACAAAGCCCAAGUCCUCAAGCUCACAGUGUUCCAAGGUUCUUCUGAAGGCUUGCAUGCUUCCCUGGGCCCGAGCCGGCCCUCCUUCCUUCUCUCCCGCAAAUAAUAUUUCAUUAAAAUCACCCAUGCAAACCCACGCUAGCUUGUCCUGCCCAUGCAGAUUUCGAAGAGCCCUCCAUGUACUCUCCUUAUCCUCCGCCUUUGACUCUCCAUACACCUCGGUGAACCUCCAUUUGCUGCCAUCCUCCUGCACCACAUCAAUAGUAAUGUGGUAUUUCCUCUUCCAUCUUAACUGAACAUCUAUCCCUCUCCUCCAAAAAAGCACCAGCCCACCACUCCUCCCCACACAGUUCACCGCCACCAUGUUCACCCUAUUCAAUCUCCACCUCAAGAAAUCCACUUCCUUCUCGGUCAUUUUGGUUUUCGAGAGGAAGAGGAUGUCAGGCUCUUCGGCCUUCUGGAGUUCCAGAAGGCUACGAACUGCCGCGGGGUUCCCAAGCCCCCAACAGUUCCAUGAGAUAACUUUCAUUGCUGCUCGCAGGGCUGUUCUGACAGCCCCGCUCUAUUUUCCGUCAGUGUGGCCACCUUGGUUUUGCUUUUCUUCACAUCUCCUGCCAUCUCUGUACCACAUUCCAUAGCAUCACCUCCCCUCUUCGACCCCAGGUUUACUCCCAACGGUGAUCCCUCCGCCUGACUACCGUUACGUGGCUUCCUCUUGUAUUUCGUCCCACCUUGCUUUCCUGCUUGUUUCAGAUCUGCUGUCAUCAUCACGUUUUCCUUUCUUUCCCCACUGCUCUCCUCCACCCCCACACCAUCUCCUUCUUCCUUCUCUACAACAGUGUUUACUUUCUCUACCAGAGCUAGCGUUAGCGUAGUCUCCCUCACUCCCGGCAUAUGCCCACUAACUGGUACCUCCGAGGUGCGAGCACUGCUAAAGUUUAGUUGCUUUCUGAUAGAUCACUCAUGUAUCUCUUCCACCCCAUCACUACUCUUUUGCUCGACCUGCAUAGGAUCUGUAGGCUUCUUCAGCGGGCUAGUGACCUCAUCAUCCGGUGUUUCCUUCUCUGUAAUUUUAUGCCCGGCUCCAGGCUUAUCCUUUCGCCAACUGUCACUGUCACUGCGUGUUCUAACUCUAGAGGUUCCUGGGUUCAGACUCCUACCGCUCCCACUGCCCCGUCCAUCAAACCUGCCUCUUCCGUGGCUCCAGCUCCCCUGCUAUUCUCACUCGUAGGCCCGGGGAUAUAGGCCUUAAGCCAUGAGCCAUAUUGCUUGGUUUCCCCCUUCUUCAACCUGACCGAGUAGUCCUUCUCCACAUGGUCAAGCAUGCCACAGACGUAGCAUAAAUCUGGUAGAAACUCAUACUCGAAGCGACGCCAUUUCUCCUCCUCCCUCUUCCUCUUCUCAUAUGCAGUCACUGCCCUUUUCCCUUCCUCCUUAUCCUCCUCAUCAUCCAGAACAAAACCUCUCAUAAUUGGCUUUGAUAUAUCCAUGCGGAUCUUGACCCGAAGAUACUUUCCUACUGCCAUGCCAUUAGUCCCCGCAUCAACCUCCAGGGCCUCUCCAACAAUGUCCCCGAUUGCUAGGCUAGCCUCCCUACACAUCAUCCCGAGGGGAAGGUCAUAGACUCGAACCCAUAUUGGAAUUGUCUUGAACUUGUAGUCCUUGGCAGUUUUCUCGGGUCAUAAUCCUCGACCACAAGCAAUGAAUUUCCAAACAUCCAAGGGCCCUCAUCCAGGGCUUUUCUUUUUCCUGAGUGCUGACAGAAAGUAAACAUGUAGAUGUUAUCCCCAAGAUCCGUGCACUCCAAACCUCUCAACGGGCACCAAACUUUUCCAAGGGCGUUCUCCAUGCCUUCUGCAUAAGCUGGCUUGUCGGACAGAAGUUUUGCUAGAGCUUGUGGUUCCAUGACCCCACUCUUUGCUCCUCCUGACCAAUCAAUUUUCCUACCUUUGCUCUCCAGAUCUGACAACUUGAGGCUCUUCAUCAAACCUUCCACACGCUCCAUCUUCACCAGCACUGACCGGGGAAGAGACCAGACCAAAUCUCCCGAUUGGGGGAGGGGAACUACAAUUCGGUGUCUCGCGAUGGCGCACCUGGCAAGCAGACCUGAAAACUGGAGGGAGGUGGACGCGGGGGAGGGGGCCAGGGGCGGUGGUAGCGAGCGCUCGAGGGGACGGCGGCCGGAGAGGGCGAGGCACCUCGGGGGCGGCGGCGAACCCUCAUAAUCACCACGAGACCUAACCUUCACACCUAGGACGGACCAAUUGAACUGGCCUCGCCAGGUUGAAGUUGCUCUAAGAGAGAAGGAGAAGCAUCGCGUUCCACUAGAGCGUCGAGUCUUUCUGGAAAAAAACUAAGGCUCCGUUCGGCUCAGAGGGAGAAAAAACGAAGGAAUAAAUAACUGCAUAGGUAUAGAGUUGAGUGGGAAGAGCAAACCUAUGGCCUGUUUGCUUUGCAGGAAGGUAAGUGUUUAUAGCCGGCGCACUGGCUCAAAAUUGCGCCGGUCGCACCCGCUCUCGUGUGGCCCCGCAUCGCUCUGCCCCUUUCCCUUAUCUUCUUCCCUUCGAUCUAGAGCGUUCUUGGCCACAAUUCCCCACCGCUGCUACCCACCACUCCUUCUCCUUCUUCCAGCUCCCCUCCCCAUCGGUGCUGCCCACCUCUCCCUCUCCUUCCUCCGCCUCCCUCACCAUUGGGGCUCCCCACCUCUCCCCCUCCUUCCACCUCAAGCCGCCAGCGCUUCCACAAGUAGGCGGGGCUGCGACGACCGUCCAACGACAACUGCCGCGAAGCUUCAACACCGGUGCUACGACGGGGCGUCGACCGGUGUUGUGGACGGGAGAAGCCUUCGGCGCCGUGGACAGGAGAGUCCACCGGUGGUUCAACUUCAGCGACGCCCAUUGCUGGAACCGGCUCAUGGCGGUGCUGGAACCAGCACUAAUUUUUGCUACCAUCGGCACUUUGGUUUGCUACCACCGACGCCAAUUCUUUGCAUUUUGUUACAACCGGUGUUUUGAUUUGCUGGAACCAGCUUCAAUUUUUGCUACAACUGCCGCAUUCGCUUUUUGCUCGAAGAACGCCCAAUUUUGCUACUUUGCUACAAAUGGUGUUUUAAUUUGCUACAACCAGUUUCAAUUUUUGCUACCACCGGUGUCUUUGAUUUUGCUAGAACAUCCUUCCACAAAGGCUCCUUUUUUUGCAUUUUUGCUUCCACUGUUUUUGGUUUUGCUGGAACUAAAACAAAGAUUUGCUACUACUGCUGUUGGCUUUGAGCCAUGGUUUUCUGCUGCUGAGCUUUUUUUGCUGGAACUAUCAUUUAAUUGUGCUGGAAGUGACAUUUUUUGUUGCAACCGCCUUCGCGUUUUGCUACGACCAGGGAAGUUUUUUGCUACAUCCAUGCAUGGCUCCAGAGUCGGCGAGAAACACCGGAGACGACGACGGCGAGGGGCGGCAACCGGCGGCAAGGGCGCGGGCGGCGGCAAGCGCGAUCCGCCAUGGACGCGGGCUGUUGGUCAACGGACGAGAGGAGGCACGAGGACGAAGCGGUACGUCCAGAGGAUGCCGCAUCCAGCGGCUGGGCAUAAACAGAUCGAGCUGCUACGCGCUGACCGGCCCAAAUUUGGGCCGGCGCACCGGCGCCUAUAAGCGCCCUUGCAGGAAGAGGCACUAUUGAGAAGUACGAUGGAGAGAUGGGUGUCAGUACUGAUUAUAGUUGUUUAUUGUCUUGAAAAGGAUGACCUCUCACACCUCUCAUGCAACUGCAUUGUUUAUUCGGCCGCACCACCCUAGAGCCAGCUCUUAGCCUCGGGCCUCCACGAGAACAUGAGGUUUUAGUGGAUUUUAGAUUUCCUGUGAAAAAUACAGGUUUUUGUGACUAUCCGGUGGAACAGACGACUAAUAUUCCUCUGAAACGAACGCACUACCGGUAGGAAUUCCUAUGGUAACCCUUCCUCCAAAAGUUCCUGCAAAAUUCCUGUAUACCGAACGCGGCCUAAAGCAUCGAGUCGGGCACGGAUAUUUUGGAUCACCGACCCAGCAAACCUACCGUUUCGCUUGUCUCUCGGCCAUCCAUAUCCCCAAACCGAAUCCUUCGCUCCCAGAUCAAGAAAGAAUCCUUCGCCCCCCAAAGAGCUUUUUACGCGUCUCCGCCAACGCCGCAGCCGACGAAACCCUAGCAUCGCGAUGUUGUCGUCGAAGGAGCCCCUGGGUCCUGGACAUGCCUUUCCCGGCGACUGCUAUCCCAGCCAUCUGCCCAGCUUCGAAAUCCCCACAGAUCUUUUUGGUCCCUUUCCCCGGCAUGUUCAUGAGACUCGCGAGGAGGCCCCCAUCGAUGUGUUUAGAUUCGAAAUCGCCCCAGAUCUAUUCGGUUCUACCCACCAUCGUCUCCUUGAUGCGUUCGAGGAGGAGGAGGAGGAGGAGGUGGUGGUGGUGUUGGCGGAGAAGAAAGAGAGAGGGUUCCUCGAGAGCGGUGAGUAUUACCGCCUAGCUUCUCUAUGUUUUCUAAUCUUUUGCGCCGAUUUAGCUAGGCUUCCUAUCGAUCAAACUUUUGGGUAACCGCGCAGAAUCAGAGUCUGAAUCUGAGUUGCCUAGCUGGGACGACAUUCUCGUGGGCGCUGGUGUUGAACCUGUUGAUGGCGUCAACUUGUCCGACUUGAUGGAUUACGAUCCGCUGGCAGUGGAUGCCGACAACGAGGAGACAAACUGCCCAGGUAUAUAAUUAGAUACCACUUUCGUCAUGUGUCCAGAUAACGAAAAACAGUUAAUUGGUCAGUCGAUCCUACACUGAUUUGUUUUUUCAGGGAAGAAAUUUCCCGAGGCAACAGCAGCGAAAGUAGACGAUAUAUGGAGUAGGAUUUACACCAGACGCAACAUCGAGUACCAGAAGAAGUGUGAGGAGAUUGAAGCAAGUGAAGAUGAGAAUGCCACAUUUCCUUCUUAUCCUCUCAAAAUACUCCCUGAGGCAACAGGUCUAUGUGUCUUGAGGGGCUUUUGCCACCACCGUGAAUAUAAAACCCAUGAUACUUCCACUAGUAAGCUUGUCGAUCUCAUUCAUUCCUAGCUAACCCAGCGAUUAAUCUGCGACUGUGAUCUACCUAUGUUUGUUAUAACAACUUUUGCUAUCACUAUAUUUUGCAGCUAGAUCAAGUCUUGGGUUACGUGAUCCAAGACUGAUGCUACAGAUCUUUGCGAUGCAUUUAUCAAUCUCCGAAUCCUAUUCCUACCCCGUUAGCGUCUAUGGAAUUGUUGCUGUUCGGGAUGCCUUGGAGCCACUACGGAAUCUUGUGUUUAACCGUCCCUGCAGAGAUGAUGCUUUUACGGUUGACCAGGUAAUUGAUCGAGCUAGGCUUGGUUCUGUUUCCAUGUAACUUUUCAGUUGCAGUGCAUGUGAGAUUUUUGUUGUUCUGAUUCUUCAUUACUUGGUUGGAUCCACUAAAAGGAAAUUAUAUAUGCAUUUAGUCCUCCAUUUUCUGUGUAAAUGGUAUAAUUAUACAUUUGCGGUAAUUCUGUGAUUCGUUCUUUUUGUUAUCUGUGUCACUUUUGGUCGACAAAAAGGGCCACUGAAUCUUGACUACCUGUACCAAUAAUUGCACUAUGCUGUGCUGUCACCCCUUUCAGUAUGUUCUCCGGCGUCAACACGCUAUCAGUUCCAUGCCCAUCAGAUCCUGCAAACUUUAUAUGAUUGUGCUGCCAAAAGCAUGGAAAAGUAGUCAUGUUUGAUUAUCCUAACAUAAUUAUAAAAUGUUUACUCUAUUUCUUUAUUACACAAGUUGUGUUUUGACUCCCUGCAAAGCAACACAUAUUUCUCUACGCGCAGGCAUUAACAUGUUAUGGACUCCUGGAAUUCUGAUCUAGUUGUAACAUCAAUAGCACAUGAAACUAGUCAUCUUCUGAUUUACAAGGCAUAUUUUUUUUUACCAACUAUGCAUAGGGUGCUUAGAAGGUUCUAGAUCAGACUAUAUUGGCUAGGGGGAGAUGAUUAUGAUAUCCCCAGUCUUCCUGUUUUAGGAAUUAGGAAUUACAGAGAUAGUAAUACAGGUGAAUGGAGGUUUUUUUUUUGCACCUGGGCACAGUUGCCCAUUGAAUCUGAGCCAUCCAUGUCUGUCGCAGGAUAGGUGCCCAUUCUUUUAGGAAUCACAAAUACUAAUUAAGUACAUUCUCAUAUAGGCCCACCAUGACAUAGUACAGGUUAAUCGGCCUUCCUCUCUUGCCUAUCCCCUUCUCUCUCACCUCUCCCCAUACAGUGAGCUUGGCCAUAGGAGCCGCUGCUCCACCAGUCCAGGUUAGUAUGGCCUGAUCUACCCAUCGUCGUGGGAAGACUAUGUUCCCACGGCUGUUGUGUCUUUGAGGUUUGCUCCCAUGGCCUCUGCGUGGUCCUGGUCCACUCUGACAGGAUGCGCUGCAUAGAUCGUACGGAACCCAAUGUGUAUGUUGGAGAAAACAAUAGAAUACGGACUUGUGCUAAAUUCAUUGUAAGUUCCCACUGUUACCUAUCUCAAACCGCAAGUCCGGUGCUGAUGUGGUUUGCACCUGCAUCUUUGGCGCACAGAAGCAUUUUCCAAGUGUAUGUUGAAGAGGGGGUGGCGGUAUAUAUGAGUGAGUGGAGAAAGGUUGAAAAUGCAUGCAUGUAAAAGAAAUGCCAAACAGCGUCUGGCUUGUACUUUCAAACAGAACUACUUCCUCUGUUCCUAAAUAUAAGUCUUUGUAGAGAUUUCACUAUGGACCACAUACGCAUGUAUGUAGAUGCAUUUAGAGUGUAGAUUCACUCAUUUUGCUUCGUAUGUAGUCCAUAGUGGAAUCUCUCCAAAGACUUAUAUUUAGGAACGGAGGGAGUAGAUUUUAGUCCAAAUAUGAUCAUGCAUGUCUUGCCGAGUUAAUUUUGUCGAUAUAUACUGAUGUAUCCCAAACUGGGUUUAUAUAUCUUGUUGAGUUCUAAUGCUUACUAAUAUUUUUUAAUUGCAGGAUUCCUUAACCUUGCCUCUUUGUAGUCCUCGUCGAGGAAUGUAUAUAGUAAGGGACAGAGCAUUACUAGAAGUUGAUCUUUGGGUAAAGGAGGAAGGAGAUGGGUCAUCUGACAAACAGUUGCUUUCUUUGUAUGCUGAGUUUGAGGGGAUGUACGAGUUAGAUGAAAUGCUAGAUGGAGAGGUUAGUAGUGACCUUGGCAGCUUGGUCAUUGACUAUCUCUUGCUUGAUGAGAGUGUUGAGGCUGUAAUACAAGUCUCUGCAAAGAUUGACUGCCCUCAUCAUAUGAGAUUCACUGCAUUCACUAGUGGCUUUGAUGG
RNAcentral lists this long non-coding RNA (81057 nucleotides) under Triticum aestivum (bread wheat). Its description in RNAcentral is "long non-coding RNA (TAES_LNC022177)". Lineage: Eukaryota; Viridiplantae; Streptophyta; Magnoliopsida; Poales; Poaceae. The record is from RNAcentral.